Molecule: long non-coding RNA, 66243 nt
Filed under: Triticum aestivum (bread wheat)
Lineage: Eukaryota; Viridiplantae; Streptophyta; Magnoliopsida; Poales; Poaceae
Description: long non-coding RNA (TAES_LNC028382)
Source: RNAcentral
UAAACCUAACCAUAGCAUGAAACAUUGACACGGCACAUUAUAAAGAGUUCAAUCCAAAUUUUAUAGUAACACUAUUAUAUUUAAAUAGUGAUUAUUCUAACACAUGGAUAAUUAAUUAAGGCACCAGGUUGCGCUUGUGACCAGGAAAGACAAACUUAUGAACUUGCAAGCAUGGUAAUCAGAUCGACAUCCACACAAUGUCAAUAUGAACAUUGUCUUGAUACAACUUUAUUUGUAUUUUAUUUCAGAAUUUAAACAACUAGUUUGGGCGGGUCACACACGACGUUGUGUGACACUUUAUUUGUCACCGCUGCAUCGACAUAUCCAUCGACUAAACAACGGUGAUCCAACUAUAUAUUACUAGAGACCUUUCCUUAUCAGUAGGCACCAACUCCGGUGCCAACGCUGAAUGGCACACUAGUGGUGGUUCUAUACAAGGGCACAUUGACACGGCACAUCGUUGGCAGGGUACGGAGCGCAAUGGAAGUCAUCACCUCAAGCUGAGCUAUCUGGUGUGGAUGCAAAAAGGUACCCUGUGCCAAUUGUUGUUGUUGAGGUUGUUGCCCGAGUUGCUGCUGCGACUGCUGUUGGGGUUGGGAAACGCAUUGGCCCAACUAUUGCGGUUGCUGCUGCUGAGUUUGGAUGGAACCCUGAACCUGUUGUUGUUCUUGCAGGACGAUGGAGUAGAUGAUAGCACGGAUUGCCUCAUAGCGGGAUUGCUGGGGGAUUUGCGGCAACUGCUGGCAACAUUGUUGUUGCAUCACAUGGCAACUGCUCUGCUGCAACAUUUGCGACCUAGCAAGACUUUGUGGCAUUGCCACAGGGCUGCAUUGCUGCUGGAGGAAUACCUUGCAUGGGUUUAGUUGCUGCAAGAUAGAUGGAUGAACAAAUGGUAUUUGUUGUUGCGGUAGAACUGAUUGUUGUUGUUGCGAAAAUGGUGGUUGUUGCGGUAGUACUGGUUGUUGUUGUUGCGAAAAUGGUGGUUGUUGCUGUGAAAAUGGUGGUAGUUGUUGCUGCGAAAAUGAUGGUUGUUGCGGUAGAACUGGUUGUUGUUGCUGCAAAAAUGGUGGUUGUUGCUAUGAAAAUGGUGGUUGUUGCGAUAGAACUGGUUGUUGUUGCUGUGAAAAUGGUGGUUGUUGCUGUGAAAAUGGUGGUUGUUGUUGCUGUGAAUAUGGUGGUUGUUGUUGCUGCGAAAAUGGUGGUUGUUGUUGCUGCGAUAAUGGUGGUUGUUGUUGUUGCUGUGAACAUGGUUGCUGUUGUGGAAAUGGUUGUGGUUGUUGUUGGAUAGGUUGUUCUUGUUGUUGGUGCCAUAAUGUUUGUUGUGGUGGUAAUGGUUGUUGCUGCGAUGGUCUCUCCAAACCAGGGAUGUGGCUAUUCUCCAUUUGUGCAAUGGCACUUGUCGCCGCAACGGCGAGGAGGGCAAAGAUGAGGAAGGUCUUCAUGGUGGAUUGGUGUUAACUAGUGUUGCUUGGUUUUGAUGCUUGUGCUUGUGACGAUCUUUAUACUUCAUGCCUAUUUAUAGUAGCCCGGGCACCACCUUUUUCUUCUUUGCAUUAGCUUUAAUAAUUUUGUUUGGAUGCAAAAAUGAUUUUUGGUACAAUGUGUUAGGUUGCACUAGCUACACGCGUACUUUUGGAUUGAUCAUCAAAGUUGCUUUUUAGUUGUGCAUAUGAUCACACAUAAAGUACAGAAACCUUGAUGUUUGGUAUAUAUGACUCACCUUAUUCACUUUACAUGUCACACACUUAUCUGGAUAGUAUCACUUUUGCAACCGAGUUUGGAACCUUGUAUAGGCUGUCAUCCAUAAACAAGAAAGGCAAAACUUGUGUAGGACUAAGUGUAGAACUAACUUUGUAUUUUUCCUCUAAAAUGAUUAGAUGAACCGACGCCUAUAGAGCAUGACAUGACUCAUCGAAUUCCCUUUACAUGUAAAGGAUGGUAAUUGCUUACAAGCUACUCCUACUAGCAUAUAUCCGGUCCUAACUCUUGACACGUCAUCAUCAGUUUCGCCUAUUUUUUUAGAUAAAUCAUCAGUUUCAUCUAUUUGUGAAGGGUUUUUUUGGGGGAAAUGAUAGUUUUUUUAUGCUAGGGGGAUUUUUUUGGGGGGGGGGGAUGACGCUAGGGGGAAAUGAUAGAUGGGGCUGGAACAGAGGCCCCCAGCCUGGAGCGAGAGAUUAGGCCCAACAUAAGUGCCGUGUGUUAGGGCACCAAUUCGAUUUGGGCUAUAGUUCUCGUAGGCCCCAACGACACAAGCCCAGCCCACACUCCGCGGAUCUGCGUCCCUCCCUUCCUCGUCCUCCUCGCCGGCCGGACCGCUCGCCGUCGCAGCCUCUCCCGGACGCCCACCGCUCGCGGCCCCUCCACGUACCUCCGCGGCAGCGGAGACGUCAGCCUCCCUCCCACCCUCAACAUCCGGCCCCCCACCACCACCACCACCGCUCGACAAAAAAGGUCACUUUUGAAGCUCCUCCGUCGAUUGUGGGCCGUACGUCGACGGCAGCCACUCCGACCUCCCCAUCAACACAAGGUAUCGAUUUGUUUCGUCUGUCUCUUCCAACGAUUCAAUGCACAUAAAUCCGAGAGGCAGACCCAUCUCCAUGCUAGCUGCACGGAUUAGGAGGGUCAGGCAUCAGAAUUCAGCUGGGAAGCCUGACAGUAAUGUACAUUUGUGGCUUUAGUAGCUGAAUAUAACUAUGUGCUUUCUGAGAAUUUCACUUCAAAAGUUCCAAUAAUCAUCAAAUUUCCCCCUAUGCGCGCUAAGCAGGUGGACCAUAUAUUUCUCAUGUCGACGAACGAAAAAACAAAACUCCACAACUAGAAGUCUAUGAUAUUGACACGGAACCGUGCUGUAGGGUCGCAAGUAAAAAUAUGAAAAGCAUGCCUAAUAAGCGAGAUGACGCAGUUCCUGACCGCCCCGCUACGACUAUUGGUUCCAGCGUGGCGUUUGAAUUAUGCCGCGCUAGAUGUCUUUUGUCCGGCGAGGAACAAGUGGGGUCAAGCGUGCUUCGGCAAUUCCCGCCGUCAGAAGACUUCCUUGUAGUCCGGUGUAGAGGUGAGGUUGUGGGGAGAUACAUCGACUAGCACUACUAGGGAAAAGGCUAGCAGCAGCGCGGGUUUUAGAUGUAUCAGUAGUGCGGGUACCCGCGCUACUAAUACGGCGCUACAGCUAACUCAUAGCAGUAACGCGUGAGCACCCGCGCUACUGCUACACAAGUGUAGCAGCAGCGCGGUUAUGAGAAGCUCGCUACCGCUAGUAGCGCUAGCGCUCUUUGGCCGGACGCUCUACUGCUAUUGAGGCGCUGCUGCUAACUUUUGUACACUCGCUACUGGUAAUUUAAGUAGUUUUUUGGCAUAUUUGUUUUGUAUUUGAACCGGCUUUGUAGAAGAAUCUUUAGCACAUAGAAAUGUCAUCAUGAUACACAUACAAAUGCCUGCGAGACCACAAAUGUAAUCAUAGCAUGUACAUACAAAUAGUCUCUUCAUAAUCAUCAUCCAACACAAAGUGAUAUCUUGUCAUCAUCUCGAAAAUAGCAAUACAUGCAAGUCUCGAAUACUUGCAACUACAACAACGUCAUCCAUCUAAACAAAGGUAUACGCAAGAAGUGCUAUCACUAUGAGUGAGAGCGGAACCAUGCAGUACAUGAGGUGGCGGUUAUGAGUCCUCUCUUGCGCUAGCGUGAACCUCAAGUAACUAGCUUCUCCUUCUUGUCUGCUUUUGAAGCCUUUAUGGCUGGCGCCCGUGAACCCAUUCACUUGCGCCUGACACUCAUGCCACUCGUUGUACACCCCCGGAACCUUCCCUUUGUACACGACAUAGCAUUUCCAUCUCGCCAUCAAGAAACUAGGUACCUGUUAGAGAUGCAUGUUCAUGAAGAGGAUGUACAAUCAUAUAUAUGCAACAAAAUAUACUAGAGCAACACUAAGAAAGAAAGGUUAGCAACUAGAUGCAACAUAUACAUUACGCAAAUUAAUUAACUAGAGGUACGCAGGUCAUCGUACGCAAACUAACAAAGUAGCGUUACGCAAGUUUGGCAGGGACCAUGGACAUCACAAAGUUUCAUCGCUACAAAAAGUAUACAAGUUCAACCGACACAUAUCAUCAUCAUCGGCAUCAUAAAUCACUAGAAGUUCCAUCCUUCCAUAUCAUCGAGGACGAACCCUAGCUGCUUGAACGGCGUGAGGUCUAGACGUUGCAUGCCUAUGCGAGUUCGGACGUCAGCUCGCGAUAUAGGGCCGUGGUGGAACAUCCCCUUCUCAUCGACGACUUCUUUCAUGAUGAUCAUCGCAAUGUCGCUUUGGAUGCGAAAGAAGUCAUCUCUAAGUUUAUAAUUCGCUUCUCCAUGAGAUUCUAGCCACUUGUGGAUAUGAUCAUCAUUUCUGCUGUUAAUGCGAAGCUUUUGGUGAUCCGUGUUGAACUGAAUCAUGAGAUGGACGAUGUAGAAUCCAUCCUUCUUGCUUGGUUUUGGGACGUGGAUGCAGGAGAAGUUAGUUUUAUGCGCGAAACCCAUCUUCUUGUUCCUUUGUUUCCUGAUAUGCACGUGGCCACCUCUAAAGUUGAAGCCUUGGAGAGCAUCAUCUAGAAUAUUCAUUAUGUGGGUGUAGUCCUUUUUCUCGUAGUCUCUAGAAGGGUCAAAAUACACGGCGUGGGAGACUUGCGGGUAAAGAAUGAUAAGGACGGCGCGCCCGUUGCUGCGGGGAAAAGACACCUCAAAUUAUUCCCCAUAUGAGAGAGAAGGAAUGAUUGAAAUGUACGAAAGGGUUGUCCGGAACUGACUUACUUUGGAUGAUAAGGCACGAGGACAAUUUCCCGGUCCUUAUUCUGUACCAUGAAGUUUUGGAGGUACUCCCUAGCAGUUUCACGCUCAAAGUCGCCGAGACUCAAGAAAGACUCGUGCAUGUAGUACGGAUCCGCCACACAGAUUUGCGAGACUUCUUCACUCUUCACGACGGAGCUCAUAUGUAGCGCAAAAAGGCGGACGAUAGUAAAAUCAAGCCGCCUUGUUAGAAACAUCUCAAAGAUAUGGUCAAACCGCAGGAAGAACACCUCCGUGGGCCGUGUGUCGACGUAGCACUUCCCCUCAGGCACACGAGCUGCGUAUGUCGGAUAUCCUGGAUCCUUUGAGGCUAGUAGGCUUUUCUCAGUCGACAGCACGUGGUCGUGCAGUCUCCUGAGAUUCCCUGAUAGUGCCUCCAGCGGUUUCGGCGGUAGCAUCGGCUCGCCCGUGAGAUGGAACAUGACCGCACCUUUCACGGGUACACGCUCUUCAGAAUGCAUCGUCUGGCUGCUGUGUGCUCUGGCUUGUUUGGAGGCAGUUACCUUCCCCAAUCUCUUCCUCUCCUUUUUCUUGGGCACACCUUCCAGACCCUUCCUUAACCCCUGCCCAAGUGUUCCCGGGCUAAGUAUUGUACGACCCUCACGCCCGGCUAGUUGAGCCUGUGUUGAGGCGGCAUCUUCAGGCGUGUCCUGUGAGGAUUUCAUGAAGAGAGACUUUUUGCAUUCCAUGGUACGGCCCUGCCCGGGCAUAUCAUCCAUAUCCUCAUUAGCAAGCUGAUAGCCCGAUUCGUCAUAUGGUUGACUCAUCAUAUCUAUGUCACAGUCAUACGCGUUUGUAUUGAGGUAAUCCAUCGGGUCGACCUCCGUCUCAUCAUCCAUUCUCUGUUCUACAGGAGAAAUUACAUCAGCCAGUACUAUUGCACCCCCUUCAUCAUGUCGUCCGCCGCUCUCACACGGCACUACUACAGGAGCUGGUAAUUGCGUAGGUGGGGUGGUGGUCUCCGCACAUGCUUGCUGAUGUGUGGUAGUUAUUGGUGUGCUCUCGGCCGGCUCCAGACGAAUAAGAUUCUUCGGCCAUAGCAGCACCCAACCCUUGCAGCGUCCAAUCCGCGGCGGGGUCUCGUCGUCCGCUCCCACCUGCUGUACUGGAGGAGGCAAAUCCUCGUGCCCCGAUUUCACACUGGUCAAGCUAACCCUGAAGUGCCCAGCGGGGAUCGGCUGGUUGUGGAAUGUGCGUUGAGAGGGGUCCAUUAUCAUCCCCUUUCCCACGUCCACCUUCUGGCCUUUGAUCAAGUAGAGUAUGGUGCAUGGGGUUUCUUUCGCCUGCAAACACAUAUGUCUGUGGUGUAAAACAACCGAAAGGCAACAAAAAUGGAAUAUUAUAUAUAUAUAUAUGUUGGUGCGACAUGUAAUUACCGUGACGGCGUCGAGCUCAGCCAAAGACGAAGGCCCACCUAGCGCGCCUGAGACUGAGGACGGGCUGCUAUGAGCUGGAGCGGCUGCGAGAGGAGGCCCGGUUGCUUGAGCAAGUGAUGGUGCGAUGGUGUUGUUCAUGGAGUUGCUCGCGACGAAACUGGGCAUUGGGAAAUCAUGUACCGUCUUGUCUGGAUUUUCCUUCGCCCAGUUGAUGAUAACUGGAACCAAGUUAGUAGCGAAAUCAUUUCUGCAGGCAUUUACAGCUGCAUUGACUGCCUGCUGUAGCAACUCAUAUUUGUCCUUGGCUGCUUUUUUCGCGUCCUCGGCUGCUUUUUUCUCGACCGCAAGCUUCACCUUUGCGUCGAUGUCCGCCUAACUAAACUUCUUUUUCUGCUUCUUGGCCUCCGGGCCGUCGUUGUAAAACACCUUCCACGUGGCGCCGUCUCCAGCGCCGUGCACACGACCAUAUUGCGGCCGCUGGUCCAACGGGAGUCCCUUAAGUUCGUUCAAGGCCCAGUUGAGAGGUGUGUCCCACUUGGGCCUCAUCGGAGAAGUAGGGCUUUCGGCUGCAAGCCGGUGUUGCUUCUCCAGUAGUCUAAUCAAUUUCCUCGUGAUCUUGUCCGUGUAAAAAACCUUUUUCUCCUUGUCCCACUUGUAGCGGGCCCUGAUGAAGUCAUGCUCCAAGGGGUUGGUGAACUUCGCGAAGGGGUCUGGGAGACCCGCGGCUUCACGUUCCGCGUCCUCCUUAUCCCAUAUGGGCCUUUUACCGAGGUAGCCACGGCUUCCGAGGCGAUGCUUCCCCAUGUUCCGGAGCUGAAGGCUUUUGAAUUUCGCAGCCUUAGCCUUGGCUGCCUUGGUAGCGCAAGUGUCCUUGAACUUUUCGAACUCCUCUUCCGUAAGUGUCGGAUUUUCCUCCAGAAUCUUGGACAGGGGUUCAUCAGCCUCAAUAGCUCGUUUCACCCUCCCUUUCCAGGAGGCCAAAUCAUUGCUGAACAUGCCCAUGGCGUGAUUGUUAAUCUUUUUCAUCUUCGGAUCAUCCCACGGUUGUUCUAUGUUAUCAUCCCGGUCGGGGAACUUGAAUCUCUUCUGCAACUUCGUUAGGAGCAACUGCGUCAAAUGUUCUUUACUCCUUAAGUCAUCAUCGUUGAUGCUCGCGCAUUCCCGUAGGAUGCAUCCUACUUGGUUCCCAUAGCACUUGCGAGGUUCUUCCGGCUCUAACGGCUCAAACUUUCCAGGUGCCAUCUUUGUGAUCACAAGUCGUCCAAUCCCUAGUUUGUUAGGUUUUCGUAUCCUCUGCUUCUUAUGCUUCCUCUUUUCGGUAUCGGCAUCGGGGCCGGUACCUUCCCCGCCGGUCUCGGCGCCGCCAUCGGUGCCGGCGCCGUCGGUGCCGGCACCGUAGGUGUCGAUGUCGGCGUCAGUACCAUCAUCGAGGCCGACCUGCAAACCUUGCUUAGCAGUCAAAUAGUCGAGGUACUCUUGUUCACCCUCAUAAUCCAUCUCGUCUGCAUCUUGGUCAGAAGGCCCAGUUUCUUCGUUGUUCGACAUGUUUCCUAUGAUUAAGUGGCCUCAUUUAUUUCUAAAAGUAUGAAUAAAUGAGAAAUGACAUAAAAAGAAAUCUAUGUGCCAACACUCGAUAUGCCAACUAUGUAGCACAAAUCAUGCCUUUAUUCACGGGAAAUUUCGGCAUGACCUUUGCUAAAAAAUGGACAUAUCGAGCGCCUGAAAUUCACCGAAACGGAAAUGAAUCAACAUUCCUGCGCAACAUAGGCCACUCGGAUCAUUUUCCAAACAUGACAUGUCCAAAACAUGACAUAUGCACAUAUCACAUGUCCAGUUCAAAUUUCCAUAUAAAUUCAGCUAAUUCAUAACUAAAUAGAUAACCUAAUUAAUUAACAUGAAGANNNNNNNNNNNNNNNNNNNNNNNNNNNNNNNNNNNNNNNNNNNNNNNNNNNNNNNNNNNNNNNNNNNNNNNNNNNNNNNNNNNNNNNNNNNNNNNNNNNNNNNNNNNNNNNNNNNNNNNNNNNNNNNNNNNNNNNNNNNNNNNNNNNNNNNNNNNNNNNNNNNNNNNNNNNNNNNNNNNNNNNNNNNNNNNNNNNNNNNNNNNNNNNNNNNNNNNNNNNNNNNNNNNNNNNNNNGGGGGCGAGCGACAUGGUCGGGGGCGAGCACGCCGGAGUCGGGGUCGAGAGCGGGACAGGGGCGAGCGCCGGGGCUGGCACCGGCGCCGGCAGGGUCGGGGGCGAGCGCCGGGGCCGGGUCGGGCACGGCGGAGCGACGGGGGCCGGAGAGAGAGUGGGGAUUUGGGGGGAAAUGGCGGGAUGAAGCUGGGCGAGUGCGAAUUUUGGGUUAAGUGGACGUAGCAGUAGCGGGUUAUGUCAAAACGCGCUGCUACUAUAUUCUGUAGCGGCAGCGGUUUAUGAGAAACACGCUACUACUAUGGUGCGUAGCUGCAGCGCUUUAUGGGAAACUCGCUACUACUAUGGUGCGUAGCGGCAGCGGUUUAUGAGAAACACGCUACUACUAAGAUCUAGCAGCAGCGGUUUUGUGGAAACGCGCUGCUACUGCCGUCGCUACUGCCAGGUUUCCUUUUUCUUUUCCUUUAUUUUAUCCCACUUUUAUUUCCCGAGGGCAAUGAACGAAGGGAGGGCGAUAUAUAUUGCAUCAUUUGACGGUUAAAUAUGUAUGCAAAAUAGGAACAUAUAUAUUACACAUCAUUGGACCCAUGCAUAAUAAUGACUAAGUGUGUAUACAAAUUAAAUAGGAACAUAUAUAUAUUACACAUCAUUGGACCCAUAACAUACGUUUCCUCAGUGCUGACGUUUUCGUUUUUGAGUCAGCUUCUUUCCCUUCUUGUUCGUCGAAGAAUAAUUGAGCCCCUCAUUGUGACUUUGCCUUUUCCAUGGAGUACGAUUUUUCUUAGGUAAUGUAGUAUUGAUUCUUCUUUUGACGUAUACUUCAUCAUCAUCAUCAUCUUCCCUCAUUGGGUUGCUGUACUGAUCAUAGUCUUCCUCGUUGGCGACUCCAUCCAUUCCAAUGAUGUUCCUUUUGCCUCUCCUCACGACAACACGGCUGGGAUUGCGCGGGUCAGUUAUGAAGAAACAUUGUGUCACGUGCUUAGCGUGUACCCAUGGCUCGUUUUUUGCGAUAGCGUUCAUGGUAGCGCUCUUGGCGUCGGGUAUAGUCAUGGUAGUGAACAUCCGGCUUUCUCUUUCGACAUUCUUAGCCCAUCUGACACGGAACAUCAUCGUGCUGUGCAGUCCAGAGUAGUCAAGCUCCCAGAUCUCCUCGACCCUUCCAUAAAAUCGUUCAGUUGUGCCGUUGUCGCUGCCGGUCAUGCAUUCCAUCGUCACCCCUGAGUUCUGAUCAUCACUGUCCAUAUCUUUUGCCUCUGUGUAGAAUGUGUAUCCGUUGAUAUCAUAUGCCUGAUAGGUUACGAGGUUGGGCGAGGGGCCAUGUGCUAAGGCGUAUAUGAGCAAUCCGUCCUUAGAGCCCUCCUCCGGUGGAUUAGCAAUAAUAUGCUCUUUGAACCAAUGCAGGAAAGUGGAGUUGUGCUCUCUAGUAACUUCGGCGUCCGUCCUGCAUACCCCCCGGUCACGAUACUUCUUUGUGAUAAUUUCUUUGUGCAGUGCCACGAAAGGAUCUACCUCGUCUAGGUGUUGUAGCACUACCAAGUUUGCUCUGUCAAAGUCGCUGCGUCGAUCUGAGUAUGCCACGUGCAGUUCCCUGCGACCGUUGCAGUGACCAUCUCCUUUGAGCCUCCCAUCGUGCUUGUUAACGGGCAAACCAACACUAACACCAGGCGGCUGGUCUGCGCCAUAUAAAAAAUUCUCACAGAAAGAGAUGCACUCUUGUGCCAAAUAGCCCUGGACGAUGCUUCCAUCCGGACGGGACAUGUUACGAACGAAUCCUUUGAUGAUCCCAUUCAUCCACUCAAACGGGAUCAUGUUGUGCAGGAAUGACGGCCCCAGGUCUAUUAUGUCAUCCACAAUAUGGACACACAGAUGCACCAUCACGUCGAAGAACGCGGGCGGGAAGUACAUCUCAAGCUCAUUCAGUAUCACAACGAUCUCUUCCUGUAGCCUUUGGAGCUGCUUCACACUGAUCGACUUUCGAGAGAUGACAUCGAAAAAGUUGCAGAGACCAAUAAGCGUGUCACGGACGUGCUUGUCCAUUAUCCCUCUAAGGGCAACAGGUAGUAUCUGCGUCAUCAUCACAUGACAGUCAUGAGACUUCAUCCCGCUGAACCUUUUCUUGUCCGUGUCUAGAUAUCUGCUUAUCUUGCCACAGUAACCGGAACUAACUUUCACUCCGGUAAGGCACUUAAAGAAUUGAUUGAUCUCAGCCUGACUUAAGGUGAAGCAAGAGGGGGGGCAAUAAUCUUCUUUCUUUAAUUUCUUGCCCUUCUUCUCCCGUGCCUCUGUCUUCGUCUCUGUCUCGUCUGACAUUUUACGGGGCGGCAUCUGCAGAUCUUCCCUGAUUUUCAAAUCUUGCAAGUCUUUUCUUGCCUUCGGCCCAUCCUUGGUCUUAUCCGGCAUGUUCAUCAGUGUUGCGAGCAAGCUCUCAAGGACAUUCUUACAGAUAUGCAUUUGAUCAAGGCAAUGAGGUGUAUCGAGUUUGUGCCAGUACUCCAAGUCCCAGAACACGACCUCGUCUUCCAUACCUUCAGCAGCGGCUCCGGCGCCUUUCUCAUCGUCUUUCCCGGCGCGGGGCACUCAUUCCAGUUUUUCAAUAGCUCAUCGAUUUCGGCACCGCUCCGCUUACGUGGAGGUCCUCGAUGCUCAGCGUGACCAUUGAAUAGAUCUCCACGGUUUCUCCACGGGUCGUCCUGUUCAAGCCAUCUUCGAUGCCCCAUGUACAUGAUUUUCGCAGACCCGCCAUCUUUCCUUGACGUUAGCUGCUGAGACGUUGUAUCAUCCAUGCACCGCGUGCAUCCGCAAUAUCCAUGGCACACCUGGCCUGCCACAUAUCCGUAACCGAGAUAGUCCUGCACUGUCGUGAUCAGCGCGGCUCUCAUGUUGAAAUACUCACCUUUGCUGGCGUCCCAUGUCUUGGCCGGUGUUUUCCAUAACGUGUCUAACUCCUCUUGAAGUAGCCCCAGAUACAAAUUAAUAUUAUUUCCUGGUUGUUUCGGCCCUUGAAUAAGCAUGCUCAUGUGAAUGUACUUCGAUUUCAUACACAACCAGGGGGGGAGGUUGUACAUCCAUACAAACACGGGCCAUGUACUAUGGUUGGUGUUCUAGUUGCCAAAUGGAUUCAUGCCAUCGGUACACGCGCCGAGCACGAUGUUCCUUGCAUCACAUUCAAAAUACCGUUAGAAGCUGUUCAACGCUCUCCACUGGCUUCCAUCCUUCACGUGUCUCAGCUUCGGAUCAUCUCCAUCGUCGGGCUUCUUCCUCUCCGCGUGCCAGCGCAUUAGCUUUGCUUCCUUGGGAUCUACAAAAUACCUCUGAAGACGGGGAGUGAUCGGUAAGUACCAUACAACUUUCUGGGGACAUUUCUUCCCGGCCUUCUUGUAUCGAGAAGCAUUGCACACCGGACAGCUUGUUUUUUCCGCGUGCUCCUUCCGAUAAAUUAUGCAAUCGUUGAUGCAUGCAUGGUAUCUAACGUGUGGCAGAUCAAGAGGGCACACGAUCUUCUUGGCCUCAUCAACACUAGUAGGACAUAGAUUACCCGCGGGAAGAAUAUCCUUUAGGUACUUGAGAUGGUCAUCGAGGCUAGUGUCGGUCCAUUUGUUUUUAGCCUUCGUCUUCAGGAGUUGGAGCGUGAAACUCAACCGGGUCACCUCAGGAUUGCAACCAUCAUACAAUGGAGUGUUCGAGUCUACCACCAGUUGCUCCAGCUUAGCCUCCUCUCUAGAAGCAGCUCUCUCAGUACUCGUCUCCUUGCGAAGCAAUGCUUGAACAUGAGGGUCCCGCACAAUUGAACUUAGUACCGACGAACUCUGCUGCGUGGAGUCCAUGUCGUUCUCUCCGCCGCCAUGUCCGGCCCCUUCUCCUCCGCCAUGUCCGGCCACUUCUCCGCUGCCAUGUCCGGCCUCUUCCCCGCCGCCAUUAUCGAUCAUCUCUUCGUCUUGCCCCGUGUCAUCAUUGCCUGCCCCGUCGGCAUCCUCAACAUCUUCAUCCUCAUCUUCAAUUAUCCACCGAGUAUAGCCAUCCAUGAAACCAGUCAUGAGCAGGUGCGCUUCGACACGACCAUCGUCAUGGGGGUCGAGCCAAACUAUUCCUUUGCAUUUUCAACACGGACAUAAAACCUCUGUCCGGUUAUUUUCUUUCAUGUCUUGCACCGCCGACCGCAACCACCUGUCCACCAUUGUUCCACUGACCAUCGUCAACUCUGCACGGUAAUAAUAAAAAAAUUGAUUGUAAAAAUGCAUGCAUGCAUCAAAGUCAUAAAAAAAUUUGGCAUGACCUUCCCUAAAAAUAGGACAUAUAUGGAUCUAGAGUUUGCCCGAAAUUCGCCGAAACGAAAAUAAAUCGACAUUUCGGCAAAACAUAGGCAACUCAAAAGCACAAUUUGGCGGCGUCAACUCAUGCCACAGACACAAUUUCCACAAACAUAUCACACAUACACAUAAACACAUUUCCAUUUUGCAAAAGCAUGAAAUUUUCAUCACCUCUAUCUCGAUGGCCGGAGAUGAUGUUGUAGGGAGAUCAAAAGUGCACAAAGCUAUUCUUGACAAAGAUAGAUCUAGUUAGGGGGCAAAUAGGUCACUUAACUAAAUCCUACAUCUACCUAGCUACCUAAUUUGGAAGGAGACAACUUCAACUAGUGGAGGGGGAGGAAAAAGAGAAAGAAGAUGCAUUAAUUAAUGGAGGUGGUGUAGUUAUGUAGGAGUAAUGAAGAGAGAGAAGGUGGAUAGAGAANNNNNNNNNNNNNNNNNNNNNNNNNNNNNNNNNNNNNNNNNNNNNNNNNNNNNNNNNNNNNNNNNNNNNNNNNNNNNNNNNNNNNNNNNNNNNNNNNNNNNNNNNNNNNNNNNNNNNNNNNNNNNNNNNNNNNNNNNNNNNNNNNNNNNNNNNNNNNNNNNNNNNNNNNNNNNNNNNNNNNNNNNNNNNNNNNNNNNNNNNNNNNNNNNNNNNNNNNNNNNNNNNNNNNNNNNNNNNNNNNNNNNNNNNNNNNNNNNNNNNNNNNNNNNNNNNNNUGUGGUGGAGGGAAGAGAGGAGAGGGGGAGGUAGGGGGGAAGGGAAAAAAGGAAGGGGGAGGGGAGGGACGGGUUGGGGGUUGGUGGGGUUAGCAGUAGCGCGGGAGAUAAAACGCGCUGCUGCUAAGAACUUAGCAGCUGCGCGCUUUGCGGUAAGGCGCUACUGCUAACUGGGACAAAAAAUUGUGGCAAUUUGAAACUUACCAGCAGCGAUCUCGAGGAAACCGCGCUACUACUACGUACUUAGCAGUAGCGCUGUUAUUGCGACCGCGCUACUGCUACUUAGAGUUGGGGGAACACCGCCGGUCGAUAUUUGUAGCAGCGCGUUUCUUGUCGAGCGCGCUACUGCUAAAUCUUUAUCAGUAGCGAGUUUACGUAACCCGCGCUACAACUACUUAGCAGCAGCGCUCUAUUUUGAACCGCGCUGCUGCUAAGAUUCUGUGUAUAGGCUUUUCCCUAGUAGUGUAGGAAGGAAUGACCACAUGAAUGAGCAUACGUAUGAUGUGAUUAAGUCUCUCGAUUGGGUAUCUGGUGCCUUAUGUACGGUGUCUUCUUUUUGUCAAGCUAUGACAUCUUUCAGUUUGAGUGUCUGAUAUUAGGGUUGCAUACGUUUUGUUAUUCAGUUGCCUGUUGUGAACUCUACGGUUAUAUCAUCUCGAUGUGUGAGUCAAUGUGUUUGAACCAAUGUAGAGUUUCAUGUGAAUGUUACAAGUGUGAUUGAUAUGUUCAUGUUAUCCGCGGUUGCCUUGGUAAGAAACUGAAAGAGCAAACCGUUAUCGUGCUAGGACAAAAGUCAUCACUCAAUAUAAGUGCUUCUCUAGAACAGCCACACCUUGUGAAAGAAGAUGGCAAACACCCAAUCAUGUCUGGUUCGAUAUGGGCGUGGCUAUGGGUAGCUUAUAGCGACAUGGAAGCCAGCAUCGCUGGAAGAAACGCCCGGGUGGGCCGGCCUAGAGACAUUUCUUGAUAUCUACCCUUAGUUUUGUUUUUCUGCCCUUCUUUCUUUAUAUUUAUAUUUUUCCCGACAUGUUCACUACUUGAUGCUCAACUGGGAUCUCAUCCUUCACAAAUACGGAGAGCCAUUAUUGUUAGAGUUAAUCUUGACAUGUGUGUAUGUGCAUGUGUGCAUUGCAUGUUAGUGGUCUAGAGAUGGCCGGGUCGAUGCGUCUGUUCUGUGCUGGAGUGAGUCCAGCAGUUUGUUUUGGUCAGGUCGUGGUGGCUAGAGCCAUUCUAGGAGAGGAUCAAGUCAAGUUGUUAGCUGAACUCGGCUGGGUAGUGUUUGGCCGUUGAGGAUAGGCUGUACUAGUGGUGGGCAUGGCCGUGCAUAUAGCUAGCGAUUAGUUACACUAGUAGAAAACCACCCAUUAGUCCCGGUUCGUAAGGGCCUUUAGUCUCGGUUCAGGAACCGGGACUAAUGGGUCGUUACUAAUACCUCCACCCAUUAGCCCCGGUUCAAACACGAACCGGGACCAAUGUGCCUCCACGUGGCCCUGUGCGGCGAGCCCAGUCAGGGGGCCUUUGGUCCCGGCUGGUGGCUCCAACCGGGACCAAAAGGCAUCCACGCGUCUGCAUUCUAGUGGUUUCUGGUUUUUGUUUUUUUUUUGAAAGGAGGGGGGUUGGGGGUUUUGGGGAGUUAAUUUAGGUGUUUCGUAUAUUGUGUUAACUAGCUAAUUAAUAGAGAGAAGUGUCCUCUCUUAUGUCCGUGCUUGGUCGACGCUACGUAGUAUAUAUACAUAAGUAAUCGAGAGAACCAUUCAGUACAGAAGUUCGUCAUGCAUACCGAGAGAAGUGAUCGAUCGACCUCUCCUUCUCCGAGAGAUUGGUCGAACAACAAGUUUUUUACUGGCUACAUACAUGUACAAUAUGUAUAAGAUCUCUUAAUUACAAACCCAUAGCAUUUGAAAUCAACUUCCACAUGGUAUUCUCCGGCUUUACUGAUGACGUGUUCAAGAAAGAAUCCCGCUAAUUCCUCUUGAAUUGCUUUCAUGCGAUCUGGUUCUAGGAGUUCACCCCGCAUCUGCCACGUCUAAUUAAUUUGAAGAAGGGGGUUAAUUAAUACAUAUAUAUGAAUGAAACUCAACAGAAAAUGAUGGUGUAAUAAAAUGAAAUUGUGAAUAUUAUUGCUUACGCACUUCAUAUUGUCUUCUAGAGUAGCCCCGCUUGUUUCUCAAAGUUGCGUUGUGGAUGAACUCGCACACGUAGUAUCCACAAAAAUCAUUCCCUUCCUCCUGUCACAAGCACUUUACGAGAAACAGAGGUCAAUCAAACUGAUAAUGAAGCAUUAUAAAUGGCAUUGAUGAAAGUAUAGCUAUAGAAUCAACGGGAGAUGCACGCAACUAGCUAGCCAGUAGUACUUACUUUCGGGUAUACAUAUCGCAGCUCCUUCGGCAGUCCCGGAGCUUGUGCGGUGAACUGUUUCCGAACCCUGCAAGACAAAGAAAAUAAUUAUUAUUACUUGAGAUAUCAGGAAAUGAACAAAAAGUUGCCGAUAUGGUGCGAUAAUGAUCGAUUGAACUUACUUGCUGAGCAUUUCAGUCAUGUCCACAUAGGUGCUGGGAUCUUUCCGUCUCGAGUCUAAGACGGUUACUAGUCCACGCUCAAGCUUAAUCUCCAGAAGAAUAUAGUGGUACCUGCGCACGCGUGCAUAACUCAUCAAUUACAUUAACCUCGCUCGAGUAAUAAGGGAAACCGAAUAUGCACACGACAGUAACACUCACGGGCCGUUGUAAGGAAAGAGUAUGGUAUCUUUGUUUUGAUUUUUGAUCAACGAUUGUAGCAAGUUGUCCUCGGCCUCUUCGACGUUCUUUUCAACCAGAAAUACAUCUAUGAUAUUUGUGUUAAUGAACCCAAUAUCAUAAAUUUUUUGUUUUUUGCACUCGACGAUCUUCAAUCUGCAUAAUAUAUUGAGGAUAAUUAAUUAUAAAUACAUGCAAUGAAAGAUCCGAGCUAUAUAUAGAGACUUAAUGUCAGAAAUAGUACUUACAUGCAGUAGCAAAAGACCAUUAAUUUAUCGAGGGCCUUUUGAUUGAAGAACUCAAAGAACUCCUCAAAUGGAACACACAACAGAUCAUUUGAAAUGAGGUCGUGCUCCUCUUUAAUAUUCAAAUACAAACUGUUCGUCCCCUCAGACUCUCUGCAGGUUUUCAUGUACCAAUUAUGGAAUCUUCGCAUCAUUAUUGUCAGAGAUUUUUCAUCUUUGACGAGAGGCUUCCCGUACUCGUAUCUGAAUACGUCCACCUCCAUGAAAUCAGGAAGUGCAUCGUCAGGCAGGUAAUCUUCAAGAUUGCCAUAACCGGCCACCGUCCCCGGAGGAUUAGACACAUUGAGCGGGGGGCACGAUUGCUGUGCUUGUUCGCCGAGCUGGGCAAUUUUUUUCCCCUUUGCUCGUUGUUCUUUUGACCUUUUAUCAUUGACAGUAGUUCCCGACCGCUUGGCUUGGAGAUAUGUCUGUUCAGUAAUGCGCUCAUAGUUGGUUCUCGGCGGAGACUUUGGUGGUUUCCUCAGGGCAUCGAGAGUGCGCUUUGCUUUCACCGGAUCUACCUUCUCCUCCGGAGGUGGAUGUCUCUUUGCUUUCACCCCUUCAAAGAACUCCUUCACGUGGGCCUGCACGAUCGUAUUGUUUUCCUCCUUGGUCCUCUCGUACGGUAACUUCUCUAGAGGCUUUAGAGGUGGACCGUAUCUGUAUUGCCUCUCUCUUCUUGUGCUGCUAGACGCCGGAGCAGACGGAGCGGCUGUGGCGUCUGUCUUCUUCCGUGCUUGCUUAUGAGGCGGAGGAGAAGGACUACGACGCGCCGGAGCAGCCGGGGCGGCGGCGGGUCUCUUCCGCCCUUGCUGGCGAGGCGGAGAGGAGGAGGCGGAGUGCCGCCACAUGCCGGAGAAGGAGGCGGAGUGCCGCCAUGCGUGCCCUGAUCGUCACUCGCCGGAGGAGGAGGCGGUGGAGGAGGCGGAGUGCCGCCACGCGUGCCCUGAUCGUCACUCGCCGGAGGAGGACGCGGUGGAGGAGGCGGAGUGCCCUGACUCGCUGAAAGAGGAGGAGGAGGCGGAGGCGUCCAGUUCAGAAGGUUGAUGAGCUCCUUCUGCCAUAGGCAUGGAGUCUUCAGAGCAGAACCCAGCCUAGUCUCCCCUUCACCGGUAGUGUGCUCAAGCACGAGGUCCUCAAAUCCCUCCGUUAUUUCAUCCACCAUCACCUUAGCAAAUCCUUCUGGAAUUGGCUGGCAGUGAUAAGUUGUGCCGGGUCCACUAGGAUAAACUUGGCCAACAGCCGCCUUGACCUUCAAAUUCAUCCAUCACACAAUAAUGUGGCAAUUUUGAGACUCCGUGAUACCAUCCACGGGAUAGCUGGCAGGAGCCGUCAAGACAUGCUCCGGCUGAAGCAGCUCAGUGGAAGCCACGCUGCUUCUCUGCUGAGAUGGCGGGGUAGCUUCGGGGGAAGCUUCGGCAGGUCGUUUGUUGUGAUCUGCUGCUUCUUGUUCCUCUAGCCCCAUUACCCUUUCGUGCAGCGCCUGCAUUUGGUCCUGCUCCAGUUUCUUCCUCCUCUCGUAGGCUUUGUAAACGCCUGCGUCCAGAAAACCAACCUUCCACGGAAUGGAGCCUGGCGUGCCUCGUGUCCGUCCAGGGUGCUCGGGAUUCCCAAGGGCCAUUGUGAGCUCGUCCUUCUCCCUGUUUGGAAGGAACGUCCCUCGUUGUGCUGCAUCGAUAUAGUGUCGAAGGUUCUUGACUGGUGUUUGCAGUUGCUCGUCCGUCCACUGACGCUUCCCUGUUACAGGGUCCAAGGUUCCGCCAGCCCCGAAGACCCAAGUCCGGCAACGGUCUGGCCAGCGCAUUGUCUCUGGUUCGAUUCCUUUUUCAAGCAGAUCAUGCUCAGCCUUGGACCACUUAGGCCGGGCUUUGAGGUAGCCACCUGACUCCGUGCGAUGGUGAAGCUUCUUCUUCGCAGCAUUUUUCUUGUUUGUCUCCGACAUCGUCUUACUCUUUUCCGAUGUCUUGUGGGCCACAAAUGCGGGCCAGUGAUCUUUGAUCUUCUCAUAUUUGCUGAUGAAUUCUGGUGUCUUUUUUUUCUCGAGAAACUGGUUCAGCUCUUUCCUCCACCUCCUCAUUAGGCUUGCCAUCUUCUUAAGAGCACAAGACUUGAUUAAUUGCUCUUUAACUGGCUUCUCCGGAUCCUCCUCUGGCGGUAGGGUGAAAUUUGCCUUCAGCUCAGUCCAAAGAUCUUCUUUCUGCAUAUCAUUGACAUAAGACACCUCAGGGUCUUCAUCCUUAGCAGGCUUAUACCAUUGCUGGAUGCUGAUCGGGAUCUUGUCCCUAACAAGAACCCCGCACUGAGCAGAAAAUGCCUUCCUUGUCCGGAUGGGUUCAAUCGGUUCGCCGUCGGGCGCGAUUUCUAUGAUCUCAAACUUUUCAUCCGAGAUCAACUUUUUCUUCGGGCCUCGUCUCCUUACCGAAGUUGUGCUCGAUCCGGAGGGCUAGAAAUUAUAAGGAAGAAAGACGACAGUAAUUAAUAUGUGUACAUAUACCAAAACAAUGGAUGCAUCAAUUAACUAGUCAGCACGGGCUUAACUAAUAUAUAUAUACCUGGCCGGACUCGGUUCGGUGACCGGAGCAGUCAGCACGGUCUCCUUGUACCUCCAUUGUGUCACCGGAGCCAUCAUGAACAUAGUCCUCCUCUUGUACCGGCAUUAAUGGGUCGAAGCCAUCAUAAACAUAGCCCUCUUCUUCAUCCAGUCCUUCCAGCUGACCAUCGGUGUCGAUGAGAAAUGACGCAACAUCAUCACUUCCAUUUGCGAUUAUGUCCCCCAACAUCGCUUCUGUUUCUUCGUCUCGGGAGUGCUCCAUAGUUUCUGCAAAUAUUUACAACAUGUCAAUUAUUAUUCAAACAUGGUACAAAUGGAUAUAUAUAUAUAUAUAUAUAUAUAUAUAUAUAUAUAUAUAUGAAAAUGGAUUGGUACUCCUAGGAGUACAUACUCUCACCUACACCCGUCAUCGUUGGAAACAUUCAUCCCGCUAACUACUAAAAAAAGAGCUAACUAACUACGGAUAAAGCCUUUGGAUUUAAAAAUUAGUUGAACCGCUUCCUUUUUUUUCAGCUCUCGUAGGCGUGCCUUCCAGGGAUUCCAUUUGAAACGGCGUUCUCAUCUCUUGCCAGCACCCAUGAACAUAAAAAAACAGAGCAUCGGCUCGCCUCCGCCCCGCCGACUGACCGGAAGACUUGGUCGACAUGGCCGACGAUGAUCCCCGUGCUUCUUCCCUCGCAAACUAGGCUUCAACCACCACGUCCAUCAAUCAGAGGAAGAUUGAUUCAUCAUCUGUAGUUUGCGAGGGUACGUGCAAUUGAUGUUUCCCGAUUUUUCUGUUCGGCUACCACAACCGUGUUCAUGUUCCCGCUGACCCCUUGAUCCAUUCCUGUCCAGUAUGUCAUCGUCCGAGAAGAAAAUAGGACGGAGAUGAUUGAUCGGCCAGAUUGAUCGGCCAAGUCUACUAGUACCACUGGUGGAAAAAAGGCCUUUGGUCGCGGUUCGCAACUGCCAUUAGUCGCGGUUGCGCAACCGCGACCAAAUAAGCGCGACUAAAGCCCCCCACCUUUAGUCGCGGCUGCUUAAGAACCGCGACUAAAGGCCCGUCCAUGUGGGCGCCAGGCGGCCGUCGGGACGGAGGACCUUUAGUCGCGGUUCUUCUGGCCAACCGCGACUAAAGGCCGCCACAGGUUUAGGGUUUUAGCCCCCCCCCUAAACCUGUUUUCUGUUUAAUUUGUAUUGUUUUAUUUCUUUUGUGCUUUAUUUUAAUUUUGAAGGAGUUUCAUAUAUUCUACGGUACUACAUACAUGCAUAUGAAUGUACAAUUUCAAAUAAAUUUGAAAUUAGAACCAAAAAGAAUUCAAGAGGAAUAUACAAUAUAUAUUCAAUAUCAUCGGAUGACCAUAUACAAUUUUGAACAAGUUUCCAUACAUGAUUUAAUGCAUAUAAAGUUCUACGUCCUCGUAAUAGUGUUCUCCUUUAGGAUGGAGGACUUCCCUGCUGAACCAUCCAGCUAGUUCCUCUUGAAGUGGUCGGAAGCGAGCUUCUGGACUAAGCAUCCACCGGAGGUUAUUCCUCUGAGCAUUGGUAUCACUCGGAACCCGCUCAGAGGUGUAUCUCCGGAUCAUCUCACAGACAUAGUAUCCACAUAGAUUGGUCUCCGGUGGCUGAAUAUCCCCAGCAUUCUUAGCCACUGACCUUUUGAAUUCUAGCUCUUUUUUGAAUUCACCGACCUUUGUAUCUACGAACCGUCUCCAAACCCUACGAGGCAAAGAAAAUUAAAUGAACAAGAGAGUUAUUAGUUACUUGAUAUUAGGAAAUGAACGAAAUAGGCCGAUUGAUAUAGAGCGCAAAUGAAUGAAAAUAAUUACUUCUGCAGCAUUCUUCUCAUGCCGCCCCAAAGCUUUGGAUCCAUAUUCACAGAGUCGUGGACGAGACAUUCUGAGGUGUUAACUUUAAUUACUAGCAGAAUCCAGUGGAACCUGCGGACACGAUACAUGCACAGUACGUCAUGCAUAACUCAUCGAUUAGCCGGCCACAUACCAUGCAUGGAGUAAACAAAAGAGAAUGUGCUCAAGACACAAACACUCACCCAAAAUGGUAAGGAAAUAGAAUAUCACUUUUGAGUUCCUGCUUUGUAAGAAACUGCCACAGGUCUACCUCCACGUCGGCGGGGUGACGCUCCAACACAUGUCCAUUAACGAUGUGUGGGUCAAUGAACCCAACAUCAUGGAUGUUCCUUACUCUGCAUUCCUUAAUCUUCAUUCUGCAUGUAUAAUAGCGGACACAACAAUAUAGUUAGGACAUAUAUAUAGUGCAGGCAAUAUGAACGAGAUGGGGUAGAAAUUAAUAAAUCACUUACAGAACGUAGCAACUGAUGAUAGAUUUAUCGAGCUCGCGCAGAUUGAAAAGCUGGAACAAUUCACUCAGUUCAAUUUGUACAUAGUAAUGUUUGAAGUGAUGCUCAUGUCUAACUUCCGCAUAAAUAUAUUCUUUGGCGUUUUUAUUUUUUAUGUAACCCUUGUACCAUUUCAGCAGACCUUUCAUUUGUGGAGGUAGAUCCUUUUCCUGCGCAGGCUCGACGAGAGGCCCAUUCUUGACAUAUGUAAUUACUACCUCCUUCACUGGCGCCUCAUCAAGGCCUAACAGUUCACGAAGAGUAAUACCUAAGUUGGCCGCUUGUUCUAUGGCACUCGUUACAGUCAAUCCCUGUGCUGCCGCAGCUUGUAUGAUCUCGGGGGCAUCCGGACAGAAGGCUUCCACUAUAAGCGGGGCAAUCGAUUGUUUACUUUGUUCCCCGAGCUGGGCAACUUGUUUCCCGCUUUUUUUACUUUCGGCCUUCUCCCGCUCUUUGUUCUCCUUGAACAUGAGUGCCUGCCUGCGAAGUUCACGUGCAUAGUCGUUAGGCAGAUUCUUCGCGGCUUGGGACGGUGUGCUCAAAAAUGACUUAGCCCACUUGUUUUGCUCAUCAGAAAAUACUGGCUUGGGCUCGAGCUCUCUUUUCUUCUUGCAGUCCGCCUUCCAUUUCUCCAAAUCAGCAGCCGCGGCCGCGUCGACUUCCUCGGCACUACGUUCCCAAGGCCUUGUGGGGAGAGGCUUCAGUGAUGGCUCCGGUACCUUUGUGGUCUUAGGUACAUAAGGGUCCGGGUUAAUAAUCCAGGACUGCUUCUGCUUCUUUGCCGGAGGUGGAUUGGGGGGCGGCGUCUGAUCACCCGCCGGACGAGGACUGGGGGGCGGCGGCUGAUCACCCGCCGGACGUUGUGGACUGGGGGGCGGCGUCGGCUGACGUGACGGAGGUGUAGGUGAACCGCCACCACCACCACCACCACCACCACCGCCACCGCCACCACCACCACCGUAGGGGGGUGGACUUGUUGUCCUUGGCGCCUCGCCUGGAAACUUGAUAAACUUCUUUUGCCAUAGAAUGAAAUGGCGCUUGACAUCUCCAAGUCUUUUCUCCCCUUCAGGUGUAGCAAUGUCAAUCUCCAGGUCCUCAAACCCUUGGACUAUGUCCUCCACCGUGACACGAGCAUAGCCAUCUUGAAUGGGGUUGUUGUGGUGGAGUGCUCCAGGUAAACAUGGUAAAGCACUGCCGAUGGCUACCUUCAUGGACAUGUUCCCGAUAGGAUAAUACAGAUGACAUUCUUCUCCGCUGCUGGCUUCCGAGAUCUGCUGGAUGAUCUUCAUGCUGCACCCGAGCUGCAUCUCUUUCGGCUACUAGUACACUCAUGGUUUUCUUCAUCACAUCCAUUUCCGAUGCCAACCGCGCCACAACAUCUGCUUCCCGAUCCACCUUUCUCUUACGGCUUCUGUAACCGUACGGGUCAUCGUUCUGGGGGAACCCUAUUUUCCACGGAAUGUGCCCCAUGCCUCGUACACGUCCUCCGUGUUCAGGAUUCCCGAGGGAUUUUGUCAGCGCGUCGUUCUCUCUGUUGAACUUGAUCUUCCCCUGUUGAGCAUCCCUCAUUGCGUUAAUAAGGGCUUGGGUGGGUUUAAUUAAUUUGCCCCGGUAAACACACUCCCCUGUCUCCGGGUUCAGCGUUCCCCCAUGCCCGUACCACCAACUUUUGGCCCUUGGGUCCCAUCCCUCCGUACCUGCACGGAUUCCUCGCGCCCUCAGCUCGUUCUCCAUCUUCUCCAACCUAGGCACCCAAAUGCGAUACCCUCCUGGCCCCAUAACAUGAUUGUACUCCUUCUUAGCCGCAUUUUCCUUAUUUUUUCGAUAUUUGAAUGAACUGCUCCGAUUUCUUUUGCUUCACAAAUUCUGGCCAAUCAUGUUUCAGUUUCUCAUAUUGUCCUUUGAAAUCCGGAGUCUUGUUCUGCUUGACAAAGUCAUGGGCUAGAUUUUGCUUGAAUUUCCGGAAUGCGUCGGCCAUCUUAUGAAGAGCGAACUGUUUGACUAGCCUCCUCCUCUCCUUGUUUUCUUCAAUCUUGUUACCCUCCUCAUCGAAUUUGUUGUAUUCCGGAGGUAGAACGAAAUGUUCCAUAAGCUUCUUGAAGCAAUCUUUUUUUGUUCUCUUAUCGACAAAAGUGAAACCAUCAAUUCGUGCCUUCUUUGGCUCAUUCCACUCCUGGACGGUGAUCGAGACGUUGUCUCUAACAAUGGCUCCGCAUUGGCUGACAAACUUGGUGGCGUUCUUGCGGGGCUCCAGCGGCCUGCCGGUUGCACUGUCGACAACCUCGAUGGUGCAUGUUUCUCCUUGUUUCAUCGUCUUGGUUGCGCCACGCUUUGACGACGUACUCGAUUGUUUCGACGAUCCGGCCGAGGGCUAAAAUAAGAAAGAGUCGCGCGCGUUAGUACACACAUAUUUAUUCAAAUCAGUUAGUUUGUAUCACCAGAGGCUCAAUGUAUAUAUAUACCUCGGCGCCGGAGGUGGUUGCUACAUCCAUUUGAAGAUCGUCGUUUAUCGACGUUUGUUCGGCAUCAUCUUGCUGACGGCGCCCUUCAUCUUCACCGUCAAGGUUCAGAUAAGAAGAGAUAUCAUCUUCUUCUUCUCCGGUCGGCACAUAUAGAAUAUCGCCGUUUAUGAUGCCGAACAUAUGUGCUUCACCGUCCGGAUCAUAGUUGUCCAUAAUCGGGUCAGCUCUAUCGUCCGCCAUUAUGUCAGUCCUGAAAACAUGUAGUAAAAACAAAUUAAUUAAGUGAAGAAGGGGGGCGGUGGCGGUGGCGGUGGCGAAAGGGUGGUGGCAAAAGGAGGGGGCGAGGAAGGGGUGGGAGAGGGUGUCGCGGUAGAGCGCGAGACGGGGCGGCACGAACGUCAUUUUGUGAAGAAACUUUGCAAGCAAUUAAACAUUUGUCAAUGUUUGGUAAAAAAAAUACAGGUAGCGUCUGUUGCUCCUAAUGAUUGGAAACGGUUUCCAAUUGCCAACGAGGAUUUAGAUCGACUACUACUACUAGUUGCAUUGCUCCCCAUCGGGACGAUGUUGCUCCUAAUCCCCUCCUUUGGAAUCUAUAGUACUAGUGCAUACUAGCUGGCCGUUGACCGUUGUUGCUCAUCGCGUUUUCUCAAAGUCCACUGAUUUUGCUCAGGGCCAGUUCGGAGAUUUUGCUGGUCCACUGAUUUUGGAUCAACGCCGGGAUGGCAUGGGCGCUCGGCGAUGAUGCGAAGUAGACUUGCACAGGCAACGUGAUGUACAUGGAUGUGUCAGUACGGUACGCUCGGCGAUGCCACGGUAUGGAUGACUUCUCGAGUGGAGAUUGGAGAACCAAGUUCGCCGGUGAAACGUCGGCUCCUGAUCAGAUCUGGGGGUCGCGAACUAGCGAUUGGAUCUCGGAAGGGAGUUAGGAAAGCGAACAGACGUGCGUUCAAGGCUACAACUUUUUUUUUCAGGAUCUUGAAAACAGCUACGCGUUCAAGGCCCGGUCCUGAUUUUGCUCAUCUACCCGGGGCGGCGUUCGCACUGCGCGAGGGCCGACUCCGCGGGGUGCUGCCGCGUCGCCUCGUCGACGCUGAGCGAGUUGGCGAGGACCGUGUACAUGGUCGGCACGUCGCCGGCGGAGAGGGUCAUGCUGUCCCCGACCAGCGGCGGCCACGGACGGGGAGGGCGGCGGCGGUGACUGGGAAGGAAUGAUAGGAGAGGAAGGAAGGUCGCGUGGGGUUGAGGGCGGNNNNNNNNNNGGCGAGGAGGGACUCCUUGGCGGAGAGGCGCUCCGUCUCGCGGGCGUAGCUGGCAGCGGGCUCCCACGCCUGCGCGUACACGUCGUCCCGCCGUGCGUUCAAGGCUACAACUUUUUUUUUUAGGAUCUUGAAAACAACUACGCGUUCAAGGCCGGCCCGGUCCUGAUUUUGCUCAUCUACCCGGGGCGGCGUUCGCACUGCGCGAGGGCCGACUCCGCGGGGUGCUGCCGCGUCGCCUCGUCGACGCUGAGCGAGUUGGCGAGCACCGUGUACAUGGUCGGCACGUCGCCGGCGGAGAGGGUCAUGCUGUCCCCGACCAGCGGCGGCCACGGACGGGGAGGGCGGCGGCGGUGACUGGGAAGGAAUGAUCGGAGAGGAAGGAAGGUCGCGUGGGGUUGAGGGCGGGCGAGCGAGGCGGCAGUACCGAGGCUGGCCGGCGGCGCGCGCGCGGUGGGCGAGGGCGACGGCGGGCGGCGUCGAGGGCGAGGGCGACGGCGGGCGGCGUCGAGGGCGCGGCAGAGACGAACAGGCGAGAAACGGCGGGCGGCGUCGAGGGAGCCUUGUAUUUAUAGCCCCCCCNNNNNNNNNNNNNNNNNNNNNNNNNNNNNNNNNNNNNNNNNNNNNNNNNNNNNNNNNNNNNNNNNNNNNNNNNNNNNNNNNNNNNNNNNNNNNNNNNNNNNNNNNNNNNNNNNNNNNNNNNNNNNNNNNNNNNNNNNNNNNNNNNNNNNNNNNNNNNNNNNNNNNNNNNNNNNNNNNNNNNNNNNNNNNNNNNNNNNNNNNNNNNNNNNNNNNNNNNNNNNNNNNNNNNNNNNNNNNNNNNNNNNNNNNNNNNNNNNNNNNNNNNNNNNNNNNNNNNNNNNNNNNNNNNNNNNNNNNNNNNNNNNNNNNNNNNNNNNNNNNNNNNNNNNNNNNNNNNNNNNNNNNNNNNNNNNNNNNNNNNNNNNNNNNNNNNNNNNNNNNNNNNNNNNNNNNNNNNNNNNNNNNNNNNNNNNNNNNNNNNNNNNNNNNNNNNNNNNNNNNNNNNNNNNNNNNNNNNNNNNNNNNNNNNNNNNNNNNNNNNNNNNNNNNNNNNNNNNNNNNNNNNNNNNNNNNNNNNNNNNNNNNNNNNNNNNNNNNNNNNNNNNNNNNNNNNNNNNNNNNNNNNNNNNNNNNNNNNNNNNNNNNNNNNNNNNNNNNNNNNNNNNNNNNNNNNNNNNNNNNNNNNNNNNNNNNNNNNNNNNNNNNNNNNNNNNNNNNNNNNNNNNNNNNNNNNNNNNNNNNNNNNNNNNNNNNNNNNNNNNNNNNNNNNNNNNNNNNNNNNNNNNNNNNNNNNNNNNNNNNNNNNNNNNNNNNNNNNNNNNNNNNNNNNNNNNNNNNNNNNNNNNNNNNNNNNNNNNNNNNNNNNNNNNNNNNNNNNNNNNNNNNNNNNNNNNNNNNNNNNNNNNNNNNNNNNNNNNNNNNNNNNNNNNNNNNNNNNNNNNNNNNNNNNNNNNNNNNNNNNNNNNNNNNNNNNNNNNNNNNNNNNNNNNNNNNNNNNNNNNNNNNNNNNNNNNNNNNNNNNNNNNNNNNNNNNNNNNNNNNNNNNNNNNNNNNNNNNNNNNNNNNNNNNNNNNNNNNNNNNNNNNNNNNNNNNNNNNNNNNNNNNNNNNCGAGGAAGACCAAUCGGCUUAAGGUCAGGAACAAAGUCAACACAAAACUCAAUUACCUCCUCAUUUCCAUAGCCCUUGGCGAUGCUUCCUUCUGGCCUAGCACGGUUACGAACAUAUUUCUUUAAUACUCCCAUGAACCUCUCGAAGGGGAACAUAUUGUGUAGAAAUACAGGACCGAGAACGAAAAUCUCUUCGACUAGGUGAACCAGGAGGUGCGUCAUAAUAUUGAAGAAGGAUGGCGGGAACACCAACUCGAAACUGACAAGACAUUGGAUCACAUCGUUCUGUAACCAUGGUAGAACUUCUGGAUUGAUUACCUUCUGAGAGAUUGCAUUGAGGAAUGCACAUAGCUUCACAAUGGCUACUCGAACAUUUUCCGGCAGGAGCCCCCUCAAAGCAAUCGGAAGCAAUUGCGUCAUAAUCACGUGGCAGUCGUGAGACUUCAGGUUUUGGAACUUUUUCUCCGCCAUGUUUAUUAUUCCUUUUAUAUUGGACGAGAAUCCAGACGGGACCUUCAUACUGCUCAGGCAUUCAAAAAAGAUGACCUUCUCUUCUUUGGUCAGAGCGUAGCUGGCACGACCUUGAAACCAUUCCGGAUGCCGGUCAUCAGGGUCUUUCAAACGUUGCUGGUCCUGCCGUGCUUCCUUUGUAUCAUUUGUCUUCCCAUACACGCCCAAGAAGCUUAGGAGGUUCACGCAAAUAUUCUUCGUAACGUGCAUCACGUCGAUUGCAGAGCGGACAUCUAGGACUUUCCAAUAUUCUAGCUCCCAGAAUAUAGAUUUCUUCUUCCACAUGGCUGCGUUCCCGUCUGCUCCCUUCGGAACUGAUUGUCCGCCAGGACCCUUUCCAAAGAUGACUUUCAAAUCCUUGACCAUAUCAAAUACCUCAGCACCAGUGCAUUCCGCAGGCUUCGGCCGGUGAUCUGCCUUGCCGUUGUAAUGCUUGCCUUUCUUUCUUACUGGAUGAAUUUUCGGAAGAAAUCGAUGAUGCCCAAGGUACACGUUCUUCUUACAAUUUGGCAAAUGUACACUUUCAGUCUCAUGUAAGCAGUGCGUGCAUGCAUUGUAUCCCUUAUUUGACAGUCCCGAAAGGUUACUAAGAGCAGGCCAAUCGUUGAUGGUUACGAAAAGCAACGCUCGUAGGUCAAAUUCCUCUUGUUUGUGCUCAUCCCACACACGGACACCACCCCACAGCUGUAAAAGUUCAUCAACUAAUGGCCUUAGGUACACAUCGAUGUCGUUGCCGGGUUGCUUCGGACCUUGGAUGAGCACUGGCAUCAUAAUGAACUUCCGCUUCAUGCACAACCAAGAAGGAAGGUUGUAGAUGCAUAGAGUCACGGGCCAGGUGCUAUGGCUGGAGCUCUGCUCGCCAAAAGGAUUCAUGCCAUCCGUACUUAGAGCAAAUCUUAUGUUCCUUGCGUCAGCUGCAAAAUCUUUGAACCAUCUGUCGAUCUUUCUCCAUUGCGUUCCAUCUGCGGUGUGUCUCAACUCCCCGUCCGACUUACGGUCCUCUUUGUGCCAUCGCAACAACUUGGCAUGCUCUUUGUUCCUGAACAGACGUUUCAACCGUGGUAUUAUAGGAGCAUACCACAUCACCUUGGCGGGAACCCUCUUCCUGGGUUUCUGGCCCUCAACAUCGUCACCAGGGUCAUCGCCUCUGAUCUUAUAACGCAAUGCAGUGCAUAUCGGGCAUUCAUUCAAAUUCUCGUAUUCACCGCGGUAGAGGAUGCAGUCGUUGAUGCAUGCAUGUAUCUUCAGAACCUCUAAACCUAGAGGGCAGACAACCUUCUUUGCUUCGUACGUACUGGCGGGCAACUCGUUAUCCUUUGGAAACAUACUCUUCAACAUUUUCAGCAAGUUUUCAAAUGCCGAGUCAGCUACACCUGCCUCUGCCUUCCAUUUCAGCAAAUCCAGUGUGCAGCCCAGCUUUUUCAGACCAUCAUCGCAUCCGGGGUACAGCGCCUUUCUGUGAUCCUCUAACAUGCGAUCCAAAUUCUCCCUCUCCUUUUCAGUUUCGCAGCGUCUCCGUGCAUCAGCAAUGGUCCGACCAAGAUCAUCAACGGGAUCAUCACGUGCCUCUUCUUCACCUUCCCCUUCACCUUCAGCAUCCUCCAUGAAAGUAUCACCGAGAUGAGCAAGAUAGCUUUCAUCGAUGAAAUCAUCCCCUUCUUCAUCUUCUUCCAUUAUAACCCCUCUUUCUCCAUGCUUGGUCCAACAAUUAUAGCUUGGCAUGAAACCGUGCCGAAGCAGAUGCAUGUGAACAUCUCUUGAGGAAGAGUAACCCUUCUGAUUCUUACAGAUAACACAUGGACAGAUAACAAAAAACCCCUGCUUGUUCGCAUUAGCCACUACGAGGAAAUCUUUCAAACCCGUAGUGAACUCGCCGGAGAGUCGGUUACCGUACAUCCAUUGCCGAUUCAUCUGCAUUAUUAUAAUAUAAAAUAUAUAAUUAACCAUCAUGCAUUUGUUAAACUAACUAGCUACAAACAAUAUAAAUUAAACAAUGAACUGCACACAUGCAUAUUUUAUCAAUGACACAUCAAAGGUUCAUCAAGUUGCUAACCGCGAUCGAGGAGUGUGGCUCCAACACUUCAUGUCAUGUUUGUUUCAUGCUCUUGGGGCAUUUCAUCAAACACCUUAUGUGCAUAAGAGGAACCAAAAGCAAACCUACACCCACUUGUGAAGAGAAUGGCUCCAAAUGGCUAAGUGUUGGCUGCUGGAUGGGUAUAUAUAGGGGAGGGGCUUUAGUUGCGGUUGGCUUGGCAAACCGUGACUAAAGGUGCCCGAAGGCCUUUAGUCGCGGUUGUCCUGGCCAACCGCGACUAAAGACCCUCACGUGCGCCAGCUGGCCACCGAGCGCCCUGAGCCCAGGCCUUUGGUCGCGGUUCACCUCCAGAACCGCGACUAAAGGUCCCAUUAGUCGCGGUUCCUACAGCUUCGCGACUUAUGGGGCUGGACGGAAGCUUGUUUUUCCACCAGUGUACUAGGUAAGGUGUCGUUCCAGUCAAAUUGAUGAAUUCAUCUUUUGUUACCUUUGUUAUAGGAAUAUAGGCUGCAUUUAUUAGUCAUAUCGAGCUCUCAAGGAGUCAAGAUCUUGUUAACUUACUAAUAAUUUCUAUAUACCUGCAGCGUUAUGGCCUAUGGUGCAGGGCAAAGACAACAAGGACGACAUGCGGCGGCGACGUGGCCAUGGUGAAGCUACUUCGUCCGGCUACCCCAUGGUUGGCGUGUCUGCCGUCCUCUCAAUCUAUCACACGUACGUCCGGUGCAUGCAUGGUGUCGGGCCGAAGAGCACACAAAUCUACAUCCAGGCCCUGGGCACUAGCAACCGCUGAUGCACUUAGCCACUUACCAAUGUAUUCCUAUUGUACGUAUAUAAUAAAGUGGUUAGUACGUCGACGUAGAAAUAGUUAGUAGCUUGCUUUGCACUCACACAAUCGAGUCAUGAUUGUUACUGAUGAUCAAAAUUUUAUGUAUUUUUUAUGCCGGAUGGGUUUACUACUUCUUCUUCGGUUGUAUAUAAAGCUUCCAAAAAAUUAGUAUAUAAUCCUCCAGAAUAAAUCAGUAUAUAGUCCUCCAAAAAAAUGAGUAUAUACACUUUGUAACGCAGCAUAUACCCCAUAAAAAAUGUAGUAUAACGCUGCAGAAAUAAGACAUACUCCUUUUCUAGUUGCAUAUACCCAAUCACAAAACUACACUGAAAUAAUUAGUAGUACAUACUCCUUUUCUAUUUUGGAAAGGAACGUCCAUUUCCCUCUUCAACAAGUGCUUUAUUUUUCUAGGGGUAGCCUUGUGUUUUUACUGCCAUGCGACGACAUUACAAAAUGUAUUACACCCAUUAUUCAUCUAAUUUUUUAUAUACCCUUUUAUGCAUACUUUGAAUUUAUCACUCAUUUGGGCGACCAGCCCGCUCUCUCAUUGCAGCGACUCGACUCUCACAUAAAGCCAGUAUAUACUCACGUAAAAAAAAGCAGUAUAGACUCCCUUACUGAAAAAGAACUAUAUACUCCCCUACCAAAAAAAGUAGUAUAUGCUCCAUUACCAAAAAGGCAGUAUAUACUCAUAUACAAAAGGUGGUAUAUACUGUCUUCCCAAAGUAGUAUAUAUCUUUUUCCUUGCGUUAGAGAAGUAGUAUAACCAGAACAGAUAGUUCAUACUUGUGUGCUGAAAAAAGUAGUAUAUAAAUAUAUAUGUAAGAGUGAGUAUGGUAGAUAUGUAUCGGUCCUUACAAAAAAAAUCAACCACUGUUAUUGUUUAUUUGCACCGAACUAACCUUAUCUGUAUGCUAGGAUCCUUGAAUCUCUCAAUCUGUUGAUGCACAUGCAUGCGUCGGCCGGUGGAGCAAUUAGCAACUAGAUCUAAUAACUGCCAACCUGUUCAGUCCAUGGGAGUACAUACUCCUGGGAGUAUAAAAGAGGAGUCUAUAUAUAUAUAUAUAUAUAUAUAUAUAUACGGUGGCGCUAUUGUGUGCGUGAGCGCAGAUUUACUUAUCGUGCGCGCCGGUCAUUGCGUGCGCCACUCGUAUUCCUAAUGAUGGUAAAAUUCCUGGCAGAAAUAGUAAUAUAAUUUAAUUGGUUACUGCCUGCCACCACCACGGUAGCGAUUUAAUUGGUUAGGUCUACUAGUAAAAAUGCAUAGCAGAAAAAGUAAAAGAGCUAAAAGUAUUACUGUUGGAUGCAUCGGUCCCCGCUUCGACUGCCUACUAGUAAAACACCUCAUAAAAGUAGUAAUAGGAUUACCCUACACGCAUCAGCCCCUUGCCAUACUUGUGAACAGGUAAACUUCAUGUGAAGAAUAGUACUGGAUGGUAACUGUGUUACCAUAGAACGGACACUUGCUAUUAGCUAGCUACAUGGUAAUUUUAUUACCGCUAACUUUCAUCGGUUUAAUACCUAAUCAUGUUACCACUUAUUUUCUUAGUAGUAUUGGAUGGUAACUAUGUUACCACAUGACGAAAAAAUUGCUAUUAGCUAAUAGCUACACGGUAAUUGCAUUACCACUCAUGUGUAGAAGCAUGAUACACGGUCUUUUUUCCAAUUACGUUUGGUCGAAGACGCAAGGGUUUGCUAAUCGCUAAAGUGGGGUCGAAGCAGUAAUAAGUUUCCAACCGUUACCAUGUUUCUUAAGGUAUGUUACGUAUGGGCGCAAGACAUGUUCUUUAAUAGGAGCGGGACAACGGUUGCUUAGACGGAGAAUGGCGCGCAGUCUGGCCGGAGCGUAGAAUUAGACUUCUGCGCUCAGGCUUAGUUUAGCACGUCUAUAUAUAUAUAUAUAUAUAUAUAUAUAUAUAUACAUACAUGUUAGUGGCCUCGACGCUGCUUCUCUAGGGUUUGGGGUCGCCUCGACACAACGCUUCAAGGGUUUGGGGUGGCCUCGACGACAACGUUUUUUUAACUUGAUAAAUUUGGGUGGCCUCGAGAGAGUUAAUUUGUCGGGUAGGGGCGCGGCGGGAGGGGGUAGGAGACCAACAUCGUUUUCUCUCUAGGGUUUGGGUGUCCUCGAGAGUUAUCGGGGAGGGGGUAUCGGUACCACCCCCUAGCUCGUGUUGAAGUUUCUUCUUUCUCCUCUAUUCCUUUCUUUCUUCUUCUCCUCUUCUUUUUCUUCUUCUCCCUCGAGAAAGGAAAAUANNNNNNNNNNNNNNNNNNNNNNNNNNNNNNNNNNNNNNNNNNNNNNNNNNNNNNNNNNNNNNNNNNNNNNNNNNNNNNNNNNNNNNNNNNNNNNNNNNNNNNNNNNNNNNNNNNNNNNNNNNNNNNNNNNNNNNNNNNNNNNNNNNNNNNNNNNNNNNNNNNNNNNNNNNNNNNNNNNNNNNNNNNNNNNNNNNNNNNNNNNNNNNNNNNNNNNNNNNNNNNNNNNNNNNNNNNNNNNNNNNNNNNNNNNNNNNNNNNNNNNNNNNNNNNNNNNNNNNNNNNNNNNNNNNNNNNNNNNNNNNNNNNNNNNNNNNNNNNNNNNNNNNNNNNNNNNNNNNNNNNNNNNNNNNNNNNNNNNNNNNNNNNNNNNNNNNNNNNNNNNNNNNNNNNNNNNNNNNNNNNNNNNNNNNNNNNNNNNNNNNNNNNNNNNNNNNNNNNNNNNNNNNNNNNNNNNNNNNNNNNNNNNNNNNNNNNNNNNNNNNNNNNNNNNNNNNNNNNNNNNNNNNNNNNNNNNNNNNNNNNNNNNNNNNNNNNNNNNNNNNNNNNNNNNNNNNNNNNNNNNNNNNNNNNNNNNNNNNNNNNNNNNNNNNNNNNNNNNNNNNNNNNNNNNNNNNNNNNNNNNNNNNNNNNNNNNNNNNNNNNNNNNNNNNNNNNNNNNNNNNNNNNNNNNNNNNNNNNNNNNNNNNNNNNNNNNNNNNNNNNNNNNNNNNNNNNNNNNNNNNNNNNNNNNNNNNNNNNNNNNNNNNNNNNNNNNNNNNNNNNNNNNNNNNNNNNNNNNNNNNNNNNNNNNNNNNNNNNNNNNNNNNNNNNNNNNNNNNNNNNNNNNNNNNNNNNNNNNNNNNNNNNNNNNNNNNNNNNNNNNNNNNNNNNNNNNNNNNNNNNNNNNNNNNNNNNNNNNNNNNNNNNNNNNNNNNNNNNNNNNNNNNNNNNNNNNNNNNNNNNNNNNNNNNNNNNNNNNNNNNNNNNNNNNNNNNNNNNNNNNNNNNNNNNNNNNNNNNNNNNNNNNNNNNNNNNNNNNNNNNNNNNNNNNNNNNNNNNNNNNNNNNNNNNNNNNNNNNNNNNNNNNNNNNNNNNNUGAAAACACUUUUUUUUGUUUUCUUUCUUGCUUUAUUUAUUUUAUUUUGUUUCUACUUGCAAUAAAAUACUUAUUGUUGUUUUUUUGUUUUGUUUUCUGCAUUAUUUAUUUUCUUUUGUUUUUUGCUUUAUUUUUUAAUUCUUUUUGCUUUUAGUUUUAGGAAAAUUAUAAACUUUCUAUUAGUGCCAUUACUUUUCAAAUUUGAAAACACUUUUUUGUUUUUUAGUUUUCUUUCUUGCUUUAUUUAUUUUAUUUUGUUUCUACUUACAACAAAAUACUUAUUGUUGCUAUUUUUAAUUAUUACGAAGGCCAAACCAUAAGACAUUAAAGCAUUUCAAAUGAACUCUGAAAAAGUUGAAAGUUGGCAUGGUAUCAUAAAUUGACCCACACAUAGCAUGUGCAUGUACAAAACGGACAAUGUUAUCAUACUCGUCAGUUACAAAGUUGGCAUGGUAUCAUCAUAAUAGUUGCGGGAGAAAGUCUUCACUUUUUCUUCGCUUGUGUCAUUUGCUUAUUGCGCCGUAACCAUGGAUAAUCUUCAUCGUUUAUCAGGAUGCUGGGGUCAGCCUUGACUUUAAAGGGAGGAAUUUCAUGAAACUUUUCAUAAUCUUCAGACAUGUCUGUCUUGUCCUCCUCUCCCACGAUGUCCCUUUUUCCUGAAAGAACUAUGUGGCGCUUUGGCUCAUCGUAUGAUGUAUUCGCUUCCUUAUCUUUUCUCUUUCUUGGUCUGGUAGACAUGUCCAUCACAUAGAUAACCUGUGCCACAUCAUUGGCUAGGACGAACGGUUCGUCAGUGUACCCAAGAUUUUUCGGAUCCACUGUUGUCGUUCCGUACUGUGGGUCUACAUGUACCCCGCCUCCUGACAGAUUGACCCAUUUGCACUUAAACAAAGGGACCUUAAAAUCAUGUCCUUAGUCAAGUUCCCAUAUGUCCACUAUGUAACCAUAAUAUGUGUCCUUUCCCCUCUCGGUUGUUGCAUCAAAGCGGACACCGCUGUUUUGGUUGGUGCUCUUUUGAUCUUGGUUAAUCGUGUAAAAUGUCUUCCCAUUUAUCUCAUAUCCUUUCCAAAUCGUAACAGUCGAAGAUGGUCCCCUGGAUAACAAGUACAUCUCAUCACAAACAGCGUUGUCACCUCUGAUACGUGCUUCCAACCAACUGCUGAAAGUCCUGAUGUGUUCACAUGUAAUUCAGUCGUCGCACUGCUCCGGGUGUUUGGAGCGCAGACUGUUCUUGUGUUCAUCCACAUACGGGGUCACCAAGGUAGAGUUCUGUAGAACUGUGUAGUGUGCUUGAGACCAAGAAUAUCUGUCCCUGCAUAUUAUUGAGUCCCUUCCAAGCAUGCCUUUUCCAGUCAGUCUCCCCUCAUACCGCGAUUUAGGGAGACCUAUCUUCUUAUGGCCAGGAAUGAAGUCAACACAAAACCCGAUGACAUCCUCUGUUUGAUGGCCCAUGGAGAUGCUUCCUUCUGGCCUAGCGCGAUGAGGGACAUAUUUCUUUAGGACUCCCAUGAACCUCUCAAAGGGGUACAUAUUGUGUAGAAAUACGGGGCCCAAAAUGACAAUCUCGUCAACUAGAUGAACUAGGACGUGCGUCAUGAUAUUGAAGAAGGAUGGUGGGAACACCAGCUCGAAACUGACAAGACAUUGCACCACAUCACUCCUUAGCCUUGGUAUGAUUUCUGGAUCGAUCACCUUCUGAGAGAUUGCAUUGAGGAAUGCACAUAGCUUCACAAUGGCUAAUCGGACGUUUUCCGGUAGAAGCCCCCUCAAUGCAACCGGAAGCAGUUGUGUCAUAAUCACGUGGCAGUCAUGAGACUUUAGGUUCUGAAACUUUUUCUUUGCCAUAUUUAUUAUUCCUUUUAUAUUCGACGAGAAGCCAGUCGGGACCUUCAUACUAAGCAGGCAUUCAAAGAAGAUUUCCUUCUCUUCUUUGGUAAGAGCAUAGCUGGCAGGACCUUCAUACUGCUUUGGAGGCAUGCCGUCUUUUUCGUGCAAAUGUUGCAGGUCCUCCCGUGCCUCAGCUGUAUCUUUUGUCUUCCCAUACACGCCCAAGAAGCCUAGCAGGUUCACGCAAAGGUUCUUCGUCACGUGCAUCACGUCGAUCGAAGAGCGGACCUCUAGGUCUUUCUAGUAGGGUAGGUCCCAAAAUAUAGAUUUCUUCUUCCACAUGGGUGCGUGUCCCCCAACGUCACUCGGAACAGCUAGUCUGCCGGGACCCUUUCCAAAGAUUACGUGUAAAUCAUUGACCAUAGCAAGUACGUGACCACCGGUACGCAUGGCGGGCUUCUUCCGGUGAUCUGCCUCGCCUUUGAAAUGCUUGCCUUUCUUUCGACAUUGAUGGUUGGUCGGAAGAAAUCGACGAUGGCCCAGGUACACAUUCUUCCUACAGCUUGCCAGGUAUAUACUAACGGUGUCAAGUAAACAGUGCGUGCAUGCGUGGUAUCCCUUGUUUGUCUGUCCUAAAAGGUUACUGAGAGCAGGCCAAUCGUUGAUGGUCACGAACAGCAACGCCUUUAGGUUAAAUUUCUCCUGUUUGUGCUCAUCCCACGUACGUACACCGUUUCCAUUCCACAGCUGUAAAAGUUCUUCAACUAAUGGCCUUAGGUACACAUCAAUGUCAUUGCCGGGUUGCUUAGGGCCUUGGAUGAGAACUGGCAUCAUAAUGAACUUCCGCUUCAUGCACAUCCAAGGAGGAAGGUUAUACAUACAUAGAGUCACGGGCCAGGUGCUGUGAUUGCUGCUCUGCUCCCCGAAAGGAUUAAUGCCAUCCGCACUUAAAGCAAACCAUACGUUCCUUGGCUCACUUGCAAACUCAUCCCAGUACUUUCUCUCAUUUUUCUCCAUUGCGACCCGUCAGCGGGUGCUCUCAACUUCCCGUCUUUCUUACGGUCCUCACUAUGCCAUCGCAUCAACUUGGCAUGCUCUCCGUUUCUGAACAGACGUUUCAACCGUGGUAUUAUAGGAGCAUACCACAUCACCACUACUAGGGAAAAGCCUAUACAUAGAAUCUUACCAGCAGCGCUCUUCAAAAUACAACGCUACUGCUACUUAGCAGCAGCGCGUGUCUGCCAAACACGCUGCUGACUUGGAAGUAGCAGUAGCGGGUGCAUCGCAUACAGCGCUACUGCUAUAGUUGCCAUGACCUUGCCCCCCCCCCCCCNNNNNNNNNNNNNNNNNNNNNNNNNNNNNNNNNNNNNNNNNNNNNNNNNNNNNNNNNNNNNNNNNNNNNNNNNNNNNNNNNNNNNNNNNNNNNNNNNNNNNNNNNNNNNNNNNNNNNNNNNNNNNNNNNNNNNNNNNNNNNNNNNNNNNNNNNNNNNNNNNNNNNNNNNNNNNNNNNNNNNNNNNNNNNNNNNNNNNNNNNNNNNNNNNNNNNNNNNNNNNNNNNNNNNNNNNNNNGCAAACGCGCUACAACUAUCCCUACCUUAUCCCCAUGCGCACGACCGGCCCUCUCACUCACACUCUCACUCUCGCCCACGUCAACCGUCGUCGUCCGUCGCCGCCGCCGCCGCCUUCGUCCGUCCGCCGCCGAGGUACUCCCCUCCUUCCGUCCCUCCUCCAUCCUCCUUGCACAUCCUCCCUCCGCCUGUGGCCGCCCCUCCUUCCUCCGCCGCUGCCCUCCUCCCUCCGCCUGCGGCCGCCCCUCCUCCCUCCUCCGACGGCAGCCCUCCUCCCACCGCCCUCGACCUCGCUGCCCCUAGCUACCUCUCCGUCGCCCCCCACCCCUGCCACUAGUUAGUACUAGAUUUAGUAGUAGUAGAUGUUAAUUUAGGGUUAGCUAGUACUAGAUGUUGCUUAGUUAGUACUAGAUUUUUAGUAGUAGUAGUGGUAGUUGAACUACUUUAGUUGUAGUUGAACUAGUUUAGUAAGUAAAUUAAUAAACGAGUUGAACUAGUUGAAUUAAUAGAACUAAUCUAUUUUUAGUAAGAUAAUUAAUAUAACUAGUUGAACUACUUUAUUUUUAGAAAGAACUAAUUUUUUUCUAUUUAUAUUAAGUUUAUAUUUAGUAAGAACUAGUUGAAUUAAUAAAACUAGUUGAACAUGUCAUGUUUGUUGUUAGUGAUAACUUAUAUGGUUUCAGGUGACCUCCGUCGUCCCCGUCACCGACCCCCUCCGACAUCCCCGUCGUCGUCCCAGUCACCGACCCCCUCCGACAUCGAGGUGAGACCAGCCAAAUAUCCUUGUAUAUCUUGUGUUGUUGCUCAAAUUGGAUAUGUGGUUGCCCAAGUGGCCGUUCAUGUAGUUUACAUCUCCGAGUGGCCUAUGUUUUGCCGGAGUGUUGAUUAAUUUCCGUUCCGACAAAUUUCAGGCGCUCGAUAUGUCCUUUUUUAGCAAAGGUCAUGCCGGAUUUUGUCGUGAAUUCUGGUAUGACUUGUGCUAGAAUAUGUACAAGUUUAAUCUUUGAAUUAUGAUUGUAGGAAAUGUCGUACUCGGACGACGAAGGUCUCCCGGGGGAGUGUAGCUGGUGCCACGACGAUCGAGGUAUGUGCGAUAGGUUCGUUCGGCUGGACGAAGAUCGGCGCUUCAACAUUAAGCUCGAGGAGACCUUCGAUUGUGAAAUGGUACGCAACAACGACAAGUGUUUUUUCUCCAUUAAGCAUGACUUCAACUAUUUCAACGUCUAAUUUUCAUAUUUUACAAUUCGACUAGCUUAUCCCAUGCCAUGCAAGACGCUAUGUCUUGGAGAGGAUGGGUUUUGAAGACCAUGAAAAUUUCAAAACAAAGAAAAUACACCUAAGGACCCAUCAUGAUAUGGAUUUUGAAGUAAACCUGUGCAAUGCUCAGAGCGCAACCCAUUUUGGUUGCCAAAAUUGGGAAGCACUUUGCAAAAUGUAUGGUUUUUAUGAGGGUAUGAUUGUCACCAUGGAUCUUGGUGAUCCUGACAGUGAGGAAGACAAUAUGGACAUUUGGGUCCUUGUUGAUACGCUUCCGAUUGUACCGCUAUGUGACUUUCUCAAACAUAGUUAUUAACUAAUUUAUAUUGUUUAUUUCAAAAUAGUUGAUAGCUUAUUUCCAUUGACAGCUUAUUUUGAUUCUUCAAAGACUGUGCGGAAGAUGGUAGAUAAAACCCACUACACCGAAGGCACCCAAUUAACGUAUAAGGAGAAAAAUCAUCUGAUCGCAUUUUGUACUCUUCUUGAGAAUUACAAUGACUAUAAUCGAACUCCUCCAGAUUAUGGUGAAUAUGUGCCACUAGUGCAUGUGUUGAACAACGAUAACUUAUCUGGAGAUACCCUGGUAAGAUUUUUUACUAUUACGACAUCCGUGUAUUUUUUGCAUACUUCUAAAACUAGUACAUCAUUGCUAACUACGAAGUUAUUAUUAUGUUUUUCAACAGAAACUCCCGAUGGAUUGUGUGCCUCAUCUGAUGUCUCUGCAUGGUCGCCUCUCAGUUCUGAACAUACUGCCAGGUAAAUCUACAGAGCUCACCUAUGCAUAUCAGAUUUCUAAAACCCGUGAACACAUGAUCAUCAGAGAAUGGAAGAAAUGUAUGGACAUUCGCAAGGAGGUUCUUGGAAGUAACAUUCAGCGAAACGUAAGAAUGGGAGACAGGCUAAUCUCCAUUCUCCAUAAUGGAGAGUCAGGGGCUAUCUUGUUUUUUGUUAUUUUACCUUAGAAAAUGUAGUAGGUCUUAAUCGAAUGUAAUAGGUCCUAUGAGGUACAAUAUGUUUAUUAUGUGGUAAUGUGUUAGAGUUGAUAAUGAUGAUCUUGAGGAGGUGUUAUGUGAUGUCAAUGAUGAAAACGAUGAUAUUGAGGAGGUGUUAUAUGACAAUGAUGUAUUAUGAUGCUAAGUUGUUAAUGAUAUGAUGAUGAUGAUGAUAUUAUUAUAUCAUUGGGUGAAAGAACCGUGGAUUAGUUUCAAGUGGAUGGACAUCCACUUGAAACUAGUCCACGGUUCUUUCACCCCAUGAUGUAAUAACUCAUUAUGAUGUAAAAACAAUCUCUAAAUUCCUGUUGUAUGAAAACUUGUGUAAGGGUGUAUGAAUACAACAUGAAAAAGAAAAGAAAUAAAAUACUAAAUAAUAGUAGUAGCGCGGGUAAGGAGAAGCGCUACUACUAAUUACCAGUAGCGAUGUUCUAAAGAACCGCUGCUACUAAGUCAAUUUAGCAGUAGCGCGUGUCAAGACGCGCUAUUGCUAAGCAUUAGCUGUAGCGCCUUAUCAGUAGCGCUCCUGCCCGCGCUACUGAUAGGCCCAAAACCCGCGCUGCUGCUAGGCUUUUCCCUAGUAGUGCACCUUCGCAGGAACCCUCUUCCUGGGGGGCUCGCCGUCAACAUCACCAGGGUCAUCUCGUCUGAUCUUAUACCAUAAUGCACCGCAUACCAGGCAUGCGUUCAGAUCCUUAUAUGCACCGCGGUAGAGGAUGCAGUCAUUAGGGCAUGCAGGUAUCUUCUGCACCUCCAAUCCUAGAGGGCAUACGACCUUCUUUGCUGCGUAUGUACUGUCGGGCAAUUCGUUAUCCUUUGGAAGCUUCUUCUUCAAUAUUUUCAGUAGCUUCUCAAAUCCUUUGUCAGGCACAGCAUUCUCUUAAAGGAAAUAUGCCCUAGAGGCAAUAAUAAAGUUAUUAUUUAUUUCCUCAUAUCAUGAUAAAUGUUUAUUAUUCAUGCUAGAAUUGUAUUAACCGGAAACAUGAUACAUGUGUGAAUACAUAGACAAAACUAUAGUCACUAGUAUGCCUCUACUUGACUAGCUCAUUAAUCAAAGAUGGUUAUGUUUCCUGACCAUAGACAUGUGUUGUCAUUUGAUUAGUGGGAUCACAUCAUUAAGAGAAUGAUGUGAUUGACAUGACCCAUUCUGUUAGCCCAGCACUUGAUCGUUUAGUAUACUGCUAUUGCUUUCUUCAUGACUUAUACAAAGUUCCUGCAACUAUGAGAUUGUGCAACUCCCGUUUACCGGAAGAACACUUUGUGUGCUACCAAACAUCACAACGUAACUGGGUGAUUAUAAAGGUGCUCUACAGGUGUUUCCGAAGGUACAUGUUGGGUUGGCAUAAUUCGAGAUUAGGAUUUGUCACUCCGAUUGUCGGAGAGGUAUCUCUGGGCCCUCUCGGAAAUACUCAUCACAUAAGCCUUGCAAGCAUGUAACUAAUGAGUUAGUUAUGAGAUGACGUAUUACGAAACGAGUAAAGAGACUUGCCGGUAACGAGAUUGAACUAGGUAUUGGAUACCGACGAUCAAAUCUCGGGCAAGUAACAUACCGAUGACAAAGGGAACAAAGUAUGUUGUUAUGCGGUUUGACCGAUAAAGAUCUUCGUAGAAUAUGUAGGAACCAAUAUGGGCAUCCAGGUCCCGCUAUUGGUUAUUGACCGAGAAUGGUUUUAGGUCAUGACUACAUAGUUCUCAAACCCGUAGGGUCCGCACGCUUAACUUUUUGAUGAUAGUUUUAUUAUGAGUUUAUAAGUUUUGAUGUACCAAAGUUUGUUCGGAGUUCCGGAUGUGAUCACGGAUAUGAUGAGGAGUCUCGGAAUGCUUGAGCCAUAAAGAUUGAUAUAUUGGACGACUAUAUUCGGACACCGGAAAGGUUCCGGGAGUUUUCGGAGAAAACCGGAGUGCCCGGGGGGUUACCGAAACCCCCCGGGAGAGUUAAUGGGCCACAUGGGCCUAGGUGGGAAGAGAAAGGGGCGGCCAGGGUGAGCCGCGCGCCCCCUCUCCCUCUAGUCCGAAUUGGACUAGGAGGGGGGGCGGCGCCCCCUUUCCUUCCCCCCCUCUCUUCCUUCCUUCCCCCUCCUAGUAGGAGUAGGAAAGGAGGAAUCCUACUCCUACUAGGAGGAGGAUUCCUCCUCCCUUGCGCGCCCCAAGGGGCCGGCCGGCCUCCCCCUCCCUCCUUUAUAUACGGGGGCAGGGGGCACCCCAUAGACACACAAGUUGAUCUACGGAUCGUUCCUUAGCCGUGUGCGGUGCCCCCUUCCACCAUAUUCCACCUCGGUCAUAUCGUCGCGAAGCUUAGGCGAAGUCCUGCGCCGGUAGAACAUCAAGAUCGUCACCACGCCGUCGUGCUGACGGAACUCUCCCUCGACACUCGGCUGGAUCGGAGUUCGAGGGACGUCAUCGAGCUGAAUGUGUGCUGAACUCGGAGGCUCCGUACGUUCGGUUCUUGGAUCGGUCGGAUCGUGAAGACGUAUGACUACAUCAACCGCGUUGUCAUAACGCUUCCGCUUACGGUCUACGAGGGUACAUGGACAUACACUCUCCCCUCUCGUUGCUAUGUCAUCACCAUGAUCUUGCGUGUGCGUAGGAAAAUUUUGAAAUUACUACGUUCCCCGACAGUGGUAUCAGAGCCUAGGUUUUAUGCGUUGAUGUUAUAUGCACGAGUAGAACACAAGUGAGUUGUGGACGAUAUAAGUCAUACUGCCUACCAGUGUGUCAUACUUUGGUUCAGCGGUAUUGUGAGAUGAAGCGGCCCGGACCGACAUUACGGGUACGCUUACGCGAGACUAGUUUCACCGUUAUGAGCACUCGUGCUUAAAGGUGGCUGGCGGGUGUCUGUCUCUCUCACUUUAGUUGAACCGAGUGUGGCUACGCCCGGCCCUUGUGAAGGUUAAAACGGAGUCUAUUUGACAAACUAUCGUUGUGGUUUUGAUGCGUAGGUAAGAACGGUUCUUGCUAAGCCCGUAGCAUCCACGUAAAAUUUGCAACAACAAAGUAGAGGACGUCUAACUUGUUUUUGCAGGGCAUGUUGUGAUAUGAUAUGGUCAAGACGUGAUGCUAUAUUUUAUUGUAUGAGAUGAUCAUGUUUUGUAACCGAAGUUAUCGGCAACUGGCUGGAGCCAUAUGGUUGUCGCUUUAUUGUAUGAAAUGCAAACGCCCUGUAAUUGCUUUACUUUAUCUCUAAGCGGUAGCGAUAGUCGUAGAAGCAAUAGAUGGCGUAAACGACAACGAUGCUACGAUGGAGAUCAAGGUGUCGCGCCGGUGACGAUGGUGAUCAUGACGGUGCUUCGAAGAUGGAGAUCACAAGCACAAGAUGAUGAUGGCCAUAUCAUAUCACUUAUAUUGAUUGCAUGUGAUGUUUAUCCUUUAUGCAUCUUAUCUUGCUUUGAUUGACGGUAGCAUUUUAAGAUGAUCUCUCACUAAAAUUAUCAAGUAGUGUUCUCCCUGAGUAUGCACCGUUGCCAAAGUUCAUCGUGCCGAGACACCACGUGAUGAUCGGGUGUGAUAAGCUCUACGUCCAUCUACAACGGGUGCAAGCCAGUUUUGCACACGCAGAAUACUCAGGUUAAACUUGACGAGCCUAGCAUAUGCAGAUAUGGCCUCGGAACACAGAGACCGAAAGGUCGAGCGUGAAUCAUAUAGUAGAUAUGAUCAACAUAAUGAUGUUCACCAUUGAAAACUACUCCAUCUCACGUGAUGAUCGGUUAUGGUUUAGUUGAUUUGGAUCACGUGAUCACUUAGAUGACUAGAGAGAUGUCUGUCUAUGUGGGAGUUCUUAAGUAAUAUGAUUAAUUGAACUUAAAUUUAUCAUGAACUUAGUACCUGAUAGUAUCUUGCUUGUCUAUGUUUGUUUGUAGAUAGAUGGCUCGUGCUGUUGUUCCGUUGAAUUUUAAUGCGUUCCUUGAGAAAGCAAAGUUGAAAGAUGAUGGUAGCAAUUACACGGACUGGGUCCGUAACCUGAGGAUUAUCCUCAUUGUUGCACAGAAGAGUUACGUCCUGGAAGCACCGCUGGGUGCCAGGCCUGCUGCUGAUGCAACUGACGACGUUAAGAACGUCUGGCAGAGCAAAGCUGAUGACUACUCUAUAGUUCAGUGUGCCAUGCUUUACGGCUUAGAACCGGGUCUUCAACGACGUUUUGAACGUCAUGGAGCAUAUGAGAUGUUCCAGGAGUUGAAGUUAAUAUUUCAAGCAAAUGCCCGGAUUGAGAGAUAUGAAGUCUCCAAUAAGUUCUAUAGCUGCAAGAUGGAGGAGAAUAGUUCUGUCAGUGAACAUAUACUCAGAAUGUCUGGGUAUAACAAUCACUUGAUUCAACUGGGAGUUAAUCUUCCUGAUGAUAGUGUCAUUGACAGAAUUCUUCAAUCACUGCCACCAAGCUACAAGAGCUUUGUGAUGAACUAUAAUAUGCAAGGGAUGAACAAGACUAUUCCCGAGCUCUUCGCGAUGCUGAAAGCCGCAGAGGUAGAAAUCAAGAAGGAGCAUCAAGUGUUGAUGGUCAACAAGACCACUAGUUUCAAGAAGAAGGGCAAAGGAAAGAAGAAGGGGAACUUCAAAAAGAACGGCAAGCAAGUUGCUGCUCAAGAGAAGAAACCCAAGUCUGGACCUAAGCCUGAAACUGAGUGCUUCUACUGCAAGCAGACUGGUCACUGGAAGCGGAACUGCCCCAAGUAUUUGGCGGAUAAGAAGGAUGGCAAAGUAAACAAAGGUAUAUGUGAUAUACAUGUUAUUGAUGUGUACCUAACUAGAGCUCGUAGUAGCACCUGGGUAUUUGAUACUGGUUCUGUUGCUAAUAUUUGCAACUCGAAACAGGGACUACGGAAUAAGCGAGCACUGGCCAAGGACGAGGUGACGAUGCGCGUGGAAAACGGUUCCAAAGUCGAUGUGAUCGCGGUCGGCACGCUACCUCUACAUCUACCAUCGGGAUUAGUUUUAGACCUAAAUAAUUGUUAUUUGGUGCCAGCGUUGAGCAUGAACAUUAUAUCUGGAUCUUGUUUGAUGCAAGACGGUUAUUCAUUUAAAUCAGAGAAUAAUGGUUGUUCUAUUUAUAUGAGUAAUAUCUUUUAUGGUCAUGCACCCUUGAAGAGUGGUCUAUUUUUAUUGAAUCUCGAUAGUAGUGAUACACAUAUUCAUAUUGUAGAAGCCAAAAGAUGCAGAGUUGAUAAUGAUAGUGCAACUUAUUUGUGGCACUGCCGUUUGGGUCAUAUCGGUGUACAACGCAUGAAGAAACUCCAUACUGAUGGACUUCUGGAAUCACUUGAUUAUGAAUCACUUGGUACUUGCGAACCGUGCCUUAUGGGCAAGAUGACUAAAACACCGUUCUCCGGAACUAUGGAGAGAGCAACAGAUUUGUUGGAAAUCAUACAUACAGAUGUAUGUGGUCCGAUGAAUGUUGAGGCUCGUGGCGGAUAUCAUUAUUUUCUCACCUUCACUGAUGAUUUAAGCAGAUAUGGGUAUAUCUACUUAAUGAAGUACAAGUCUGAAACAUUUGAAAAGUUCAAAGAAUUUCAGAGUGAAGUAGAAAAUCAUCGUAACAAGAAAAUAAAGUUUCUACGAUCUGACCGUGGAGGAGAAUAUUUGAGUUACGAGUUUGGUUUACAUUUGAAACAAUGCGGAAUAGUUUCGCAACUCACGCCACCUGGAACACCACAACGAAAUGGUGUGUCCAAACGUCGUACUCGUACUUUACUUGAUAUGGUGCGAUCUAUGAUGUCUCUUACCGAUUUACCGCUAUCGUUUUGGGGUUAUGCUUUAGAGACGGCCGCAUUCACGUUAAAUAGGGCACCAUCAAAAUCCGUUGAGAUGACGCCUUAUGAACUGUGGUUUGGCAAGAAACCAAAGUUGUCGUUUCUUAAAGUUUGGGGCUGCGGUACUUAUGUGAAGAAACUUCAACCAGAUAAGCUCGAACCCAAAUCGGAGAAAUGUGUCUUCGUAGGAUACCCAAAGGAGACUAUUGGGUACACCUUCUAUCACAGAUCUGAAGGCAAGAUUUUCGUUGCUAAAUUCGGAUCCUUUCUAGAGAAGGAAUUUCUCUCGAAAGAAGUGAGUGGGAGGAAAGUAGAACUUGAUGAGAUAACUGUAUCUACUCCCUUAUUGGAAGGUAGUUCAUCACGAGAACUGGUUCCCAUGACAACUACACCAAUUAUUGAGGAAGCUAAUAAUAUUGAUCAUGAAACUUCAGAUCAAGUUUCUGCUGAACCUCGUAGGUCUACCAGAGUAAGAUCCGCACCAGAGUGGUACGGUAAUCCUAUUCUGGAAGUCAUGUUACUUGACCAUGAUGAACCUACGAACUAUGAGGAACCGAUGAUGAGCCCAGAUUCCGCAAAAUGGCUAGAGGCCAUGAAAUCUGAGAUGGGAUCCAUGGAUGAAAACAAAGUAUGGACUUUGGUUGACUUGCCCGAUGAUCGGCAAGCCAUUGAGAAUAAAUGGAUCUUUAAGAAGAAGACUGACGCUGAUGGUAAUGUUACUGUCUAUAAAGCUCGACUUGUUGCGAAAGGUUUUCGACAAGUUCAAGGGGUUGACUAUGAUGAGACUUUCUCACCCGUAGCGAUGCUUAAGUCUGUCCGAAUCAUGUUGGCUAUUGCUGCAUUUCAUGAUUAUGAAAUUUGGCAAAUGGAUGUCAAAACUGCAUUCUUGAAUGGAUUUCUAGAAGAAGAGUUGUAUAUGAUGCAGCCGGAAGGUUUUGUUGAUCCAAAAGGUGCUGACAAAGUGUGUAAGCUCCAAUGUUCCAUUUAUGGACUGGUGCAAGCAUCUCGGAGUUGGAAUAAACGUUUUGACAGUGUGAUCAAGGCAUAUGGUUUUAUACAGACUUUUGGAGAAGCCUGUAUUUACAAGAAAGUGAGUGGGAGCUCUGUAGCAUUUCUAGUUUUAUAUGUUGAUGACAUAUUAUUAAUUGGAAAUGAUAUAGAAUUUCUGGAGAGCAUAAAGGGAUACUUGAAUAAAAGUUUUUCAAUGAAAGACCUCGGUGAAGCUGCUUACAUAUUGGGCAUCAAGAUCUAUAGAGAUAGAUCAAGACGCUUAAUAGGACUUUCACAAAGCACAUACCUUGACAAAAUUUUGAAAAAGUUCAAAAUGGAUCAGGCAAAGAAAGGAUUCUUGCCUGUGCUACAAGGUGUGAAGUUGAGUCAAACUCAAUGCCCGACCACAUCAGAAGAUAGAGAGAAAAUGAAAAAUGUUCCCUAUGCUUCAGCCAUAGGCUCUAUCAUGUAUGCAAUGCUGUGUACCAGACUUGACGUAUGCUUAGCAAUAAGCUUGGCAGGAAGGUACCAAAGUAAUCCAGGAGUGGAUCACUGGACAGCGGUCAAGAACAUCCUUAAAUACCUGAAAAGGACUAAGGAUAUAUUUCUCGUAUAUGUAGGUGACAAAGAGCUCGUCGUAAAUGGUUACGUCGAUGCAAGCUUUGACACUGAUCCAGACGAUUCUAAAUCGCAAACCGGAUACGUGUUUAUAUUAAACGGUGGAGCUGUAAGUUGGUGCAGUUCUAAACAAAGCGUCGUGGCGGGAUCUACAUGUGAAGCGGAGUACAUAGCUGCUUCUGAAGCAGCAAAUGAAGGAGUCUGGAUGAAGGAGUUCAUUUCCGAUCUAGGUGUCAUACCUAGUGCAUCGGGACCAAUGAAGAUCUUCUGUGACAAUACAGGUGCAAUUGCUUUGGCAAAGGAAUCCAGAUUUCACAAGAGGACCAAGCACAUCACGAGACGCUUAAAUUCCAUUCGGGACCAAGUCCAAGUGGGAGACAUACAGAUUUGCAAGAUACAUACGGAUCUGAAUAUUGCAGACCCGUUGACUAAGCAUCUCUCACGAGCAAAACAUGAUCAGCACCAAGACUCCAUGGGUGUUAGAAUCAUUAUUGUGUAAUCUAGAUUAUUGACUCUAGUGCAAGUGGGAGACUAAAGGAAAUAUGCCCUAGAGGCAAUAAUAAAGUUAUUAUUUAUUUCCUCAUAUCAUGAUAAAUGUUUAUUAUUCAUGCUAGAAUUGUAUUAACCGGAAACAUGAUACAUGUGUGAAUACAUAGACAAAACUAUAGUCACUAGUAUGCCUCUACUUGACUAGCUCAUUAAUCAAAGAUGGUUAUGUUUCCUGACCAUAGACAUGUGUUGUCAUUUGAUUAGUGGGAUCACAUCAUUAAGAGAAUGAUGUGAUUGACAUGACCCAUUCUGUUAGCCUAGCACUUGAUCGUUUAGUAUACUGCUAUUGCUUUCUUCAUGACUUAUACAAAGUUCCUGCAACUAUGAGAUUGUGCAACUCCCGUUUACCAAAAGAACACUUUGUGUGCUACCAAACGUCACAACGUAACUGGGUGAUUAUAAAGGUUCUCUACAGGUGUUUCCGAAGGUACAUGUUGGGUUGGCAUAAUUCGAGAUUAGGAUUUGUCACUCCGAUUGUCGGAGAGGUAUCUUUGGGCCCUCUCGGUAAUACUCAUCACAUAAGCCUUGCAAGCAUGUAACUAAUGAGUUAGUUAUGAGAUGACGUAUUACGGAACGAGUAAAGAGACUUGCCGGUAACGAGAUUGAACUAGGUAUUGGAUACCAACGAUCAAAUCUCGGGCAAGUAACAUACCGAUGACAAAGGGAACAAAGUAUGUUGUUAUGCGGUUUGACCGAUAAAGAUCUUCAUAGAAUAUGUAGGAACCAAUAUGGGCAUCCAGGUCCCGCUAUUGGUUAUUGACCGAGAAUGGUUUUAGGUCAUGACUACAUAGUUCUCGAACCCGUAGGGUCCGCACGCUUAACGUUUCGAUGAUAGUUUUAUUAUGAGUUUAUAAGUUUUGAUGUACCGAAGUUUGUUCGGAGUCCCAGAUGUGAUCACAGACAUGACGAGGAGUCUUGGAAUGGUCGAGACAUAAAGAUUGAUAUAUUGGACGACUAUAUUCGGACACCGGAAAGGUUCCGGGAGUUUUCGGAGAAAACCGGAGUGCCGGGGGGGUUACCGGAACCCCCCGGGAGAGUUAAUGGGCCACAUGGGCCUAGGUGGGAAGAGAGAGGUGCGGCCAGGGUGGGCCGCGCGCCCCCUCUCCCUCUAGUUCGAAUUGGACUAGGAGGGGGGGCGGCGCCCCCCUUUCCUUCCCCCCCUCUCUUCCUUCCUUCCCCCUCCUAGUAGGAGUAGGAAAGGAGGAAUCCUACUCCUACUAGGAGGAGGAUUCCUCCUCCCUUGGAGCGCCCCAAGGGGCUGGCCGGCCUCCCCCUCCCUCCUUUAUAUACGAGGGCAGGGGGCACCCCAUAGACACACAAGUUGAACUACGGAUCGUUCCUUAGCCGUGUGCGGUGCCCCCUUCCACCAUAUUCCACCUCGGUCAUAUUGUCGCGAAGCUUAGGCGAAGCCCUGCGCCGGUAGAACAUCAAGAUCGUCACCACGCCGUCGUGCUGACGGAACUCUCCCUCGACACUCGGCUGGAUCGGAGUUCGAGGGACGUCAUCGAGCUGAACAUCUGCUGAACUCGGAGGCUCCGUACGUUAGGUGCUUGGAUCGGUCGGAUCGUGAAGACGUACGACUACAUCAACCGCGUUGUCAUAACGCUUCCGCUUACGGUCUACGAGGGUACGUGGACAUACACUCUCCCCUCUCGUUGCUAUUUCAUCACCAUGAUCUUGCUUGUGCGUAGGAAAAUUUUGAAAUUACUACGUUCCCCAACAUCUCUGCCUUCCACUGCAGCAAUUCCAGUACGGUACCGAGCUUUGUGUUGCCAUCUUCGCAAUUGGGGUACAACCCUUUUUUUUGGUCCUCUAGCAUGCGAUCGAACUUCAGCUUCUCCUUUUGACUUUUGCAUUGCGUCCUUGCAUCGACAAUGACCCGGCGGAGAUCAUCAUCAUCGGGCACAUCGUCUGGUUCCUCUUGAUCUUCAGCAGCUUCGCCUGUUGCAGCAUCAUCGUGCACAUCGUCUGGUUCCUCUUGAUCUUCAGGAGCAUCACCGUAUUCAGGGGCACAUAGUUGUCAUCGUACUCUUCUUCACCGUCUUCCAUCAUAACCCCUAUUUCUCCGUGCCUCAUCCAAACAUUAUAGUGUGGCAUGAAACCCUUGUAAAGCAGGUGGGUGUGGAGGAUUUUCCGGUCAGAGUAAGACUUCGUAUUCCCACAUAUAGGACAUGGACAACACAUAAAACCAUUCUGCUUGUUUGCCUCAGCCACUUCGAGAAAAUCAUGCACGCGCUUAAUGUACUCGGAGGUGUGUCUUGAACCGUACAUCCAUUGCCGGUUCAUCUGCGUGCAUUAUAUAAUGAAGUGACCAAAUUAAUAGAAGUUCAUCAUCACAUUAAAACCAAAGUACAUACAUAGUUCUCAUCUAACAACAUAAAGCUCUGCAGAGCAUCUAAAUUAAUUAAACCAUACACUGAAACUAUGUAAAACAUUUCAAUGCGAAAACAAAUGCAACCAUAAUCGCAACCAAUGUAACAACUGAUCCAACGGCAUAAUGAUACCAAGCCUCAGUAUGAAUGGCAUAUUUUCUAAUCUUUCUAAUCUUCAAGCGCAUUGCAUCCAUCUUGAUCUUGUGAUCAUCGACGACAUCCCCAACAUGCAACUCCAAUAUCAUCUUCUCCUCCUCAAUUUUUCUAAUUUUUUCCUUCAAGAAAUUGUUUUCUUCUUCAACUGAAUUUAACCUCUCGACAAUAGGGUCGGUUGGAAUUUCCGGUUCAACAACCUCCUAGAUAAAUAAAAUCUAUGUCACGUUGGUCGGCAUAAUUGUCAUAAACAAUAAAUGAACCAAUAGUUAUGAAAAGAUAAUAUAUACCACAUCCGAAUCAUAGACAGGACGAGGGCCGACGGGGGCGGAUACCAAAACCAUCGCACUAUAUAAGAUGCAAUAAUAAAAGUAAGAAAAUAAUACAAGUAUCUAUCUAAACAUACAAGUAAGAAUAUUUUUCCUUUCAGAAAGAAGAUAAGAACAAGAGGCUCACCACGGUGGUGCCGGCGAUGAGAUCGGCGCGGGUGAUCGACGACGAUGAAGACAAGGACGGGGCGUGACGGACCGCUAAACCUAGACAAAUAUUGAGGAAAAUGGAGCUUGGCGGUCGAGCUUGGAGGGGAGAAAGCUUAAGUAGUGUGGCUCGGGCAUUCCAUCGAACACCUCGUGUGCAUAGGAGGUGAGCUAGAGCACCACAAAGCUCUCCCCUCGCCGGCCACGAAAAACAGAGCACUGGGAGUGCUCUGCUCGCGAGCGGGGGGUAUAUAUAGGCACCACCAUUGGUCCCGGUUGGUCGCACGAACCGGGACUAAAGGUUGGCCUUUGGUCCCGGUUCGUGCCACCAACUGGGACCAAUGGUGGUGGGCCAGGAGCGAGGCCCAUUGGUCCCGGUUCGUCCCUCCAACCGGGACCAAAAGGUCCAGACAAACCGGGACCAAUGGCCCACGUGUUGGGUUUCGUAGUAAUUUCAAAAAAUUUCCUACGCACACGCAAGAUCAUGUGAUGCAUAGCAACGAGGGGAGAGUGUUGUCUACGUACCCAACGCAGACCGACUGCGGAAGCGAUGACACGACGUAGAGGAAGUAGUCGUACGUCUUCACGAUCCAACCGAUCAAGCACCGAAACUACGGCACCUCCGAGUUCGAGCACACGUUCAGCUCGAUGACGAUCCCCGGACUCCGAUCCAGCAAAGUGUCGGGGAAGAGUUCCGUCAGCACGACGGCGUGGUGACGAUCUUGAUGAACUACAGCAGCAGGGCUUCGCCUAAACUCCGCUACAGUAUUAUCGAGGUAUAUGGUGGCAGGGGCACCGCACACGGCUAAGGAAUAGAUCACGUGGAUCAACUUGUGUGUAUAGAGGUGCCCCCUGCCUCCGUAUAUAAAGGAGGAGAGGAGGGGAGGCUGGCCGGCCAAGGAGGGGAGGCGCAGGAGAGUCCUACUCCCUCUGGGAGUAGGAUUCCCCCCAAUCCUAGUCCAACUAGGAUUCCUCGGAGGGGAAGGGAGAGAGGGGGGCCGGCCACCUUCUCCUAGUCCUAAUAGGACUAGGGGAGGGGGAAGUGGCGCAGCCACCUUGGGCUGCCCCUUUCUCCUUUCCACUAAGGCCCAUGAAGGCCCAUAUGGCUCCCGGGGGGUUCCGGUAAUCCUCCCGGUACUCCGGUAAAAUCCCGAUUUCACCCGGAACACUUCCGAUGUCCAAACAUAGGCUUCCAAUAUAUCAAUCUUUAUGUCUCGACCGUUUCGAGACUCCUCGUCAUGUCCAUGAUCACAUCCGGGACUCCAAACAACCUUCGGUACAUCAAAAUGCAUAAACUCAUAAUGUAACUGUCAUCGUAACCUUAAGCGUGCGGACCCUACGGGUUCGAGAACAAUGUAGACAUGACCGAGACACGUCUCCGGUCAAUAACCAAUAGCGGGACCUGGAUGCCCAUAUUGGCUCCUACAUAUUCUACGAAGAUCUUUAUCGGUCAGACCGCAUAACAACAUACGUUGUUCCCUUUGUCAUCGGUACGUUACUUGCCCGAGAUUCGAUCGUCGGUAUCCAAUACCUAGUUCAAUCUCGUCACCGGCAAGUCUCUUUACUCGUUCUAUAAUGCAUCAUCCCGUAACCAACUCAUUGGUCACAUUGCUUGCAAGGCUUAUAAUGAUGUGCAUUACCGAGAGGGCCCAGAGAUACCUCUCCGACAAUCGGAGUGACAAAACCUAAUCUCGAAAUACGCCAACUCAACAUGUACCUUCGGAGACACCUGUAGUACUCCUUUAUAAUCACCCAGUUAAGUUGUGACGUUUGGUAGUACCCAAAGUGUUCCUCCGGUAAACGGGAGUUGCAUAAUCUCAUAGUUACAGGAACAUGUAUAAGUCAUGAAGAAAGCAAUAGCAACAUACUAAACGAUCAAGUGCUAAGCUAACGGAAUGGGUGAAGUCAAUCACAUCAUUCUCCUAAUGAUGUGACCCCGUUAAUCAAAUGACAACUCUUUUGUCCAUGGCUAGGAAACAUAACCAUCUUUGAUAAACGAGCUAGUCAAGUAGAGGCAUACUAGUGACACUAUGUUUGUCUAUGUAUUCACACAUGUAUUAUGUUUCUGGUUAAUACAAUUCUAGCAUGAAUAAUAAACAUUUAUCAUGAAAUAAGGAAAUAAAUAAUAACUUUAUUAUUGCCUCUAGGGCAUAUUUCCUUCAGUCUCCCACUUGCACUAGAGUCAAUAAUCUAGUUCACAUCGUCAUGUGAUUUAACAACAAUAUUCAUAUCUGUAUAUGAUUAACACCCAUAGUUCACAUUAUCAUGUGACCAACACCCAAAGGGUUUACUAGAGUAAAUAAUCUAGUUCACAUCUCUAUGUGAUUAACACCCAAAGAGUACUAAGGUGUGAUCAUGUUUUGCUCGUGAAAGAAGCUUAGUCAAUGGGUCUGUCACAUUCAGAGCCGUAUGCAUUUUGCAAAUAUUUUAUGUCUACAAUGCUCUGCACGGUGCUACUCUAGCAAUUGCUCCCACUUUCAAUAUGUAUCCAGAUUGAGACUUAGAGUCAUCUGGAUCGGUGUGAAAACUUGCACCGAGGUAACUUUUACGACGGGCUCUUUUAUCACCUCCAUAAUCGAGAAAUAUUUCCUUAGUCCUCACUAAGGAUAUUCUUGACCAAUGUCGAGUGAUCUACUCCUAGAUCACUAUUGUACUCCCUUGUCAAAUACUGAGCAAGGUAUACAAUAGUUCUGGUACAUAGCAUAGCAUACUUUAUAGAACCUAUGACUGAGGCAUAGGGAAUGACUUUUCAUUUUUUCUAUUUUCUGUUGUGGUCGGGAUUUGAGUCUUACUCAAUUUCAUACCUUUGCAACACAGGCAAGAACUCUUUCUUUGACUGUUCCAUUUUGAACUAUUUCAAAAUCUUGCCAAGGUAUGUACUCAUUGAAAAUCUUAUCAAGCGUCUUGAUCUAUCUCAAUAUAUCUUGAUGCUCAAUAUGUAAGUAGCUUUUACUGAGGUCUUUUCCUUUUAAAGAACUCCUUUAAAACACUCCUUUAUGCUUUGCAGAAAAAUUCUACAUCAUUUCUGAUCAACAAUAUGUCACUCGUAUAUACUAAUCAGAAAGGCUAUAGUGCUCCCACUCACUUUAUUGUAAAUACAGGCUUCUCAAAAAGUCUGUAUAAAACCAUAUGCUUUGAUCAACUCAUCAAAGCGUAUAUUCCAACUCCGAGAGGCUUGCACCAGUCCAUAGAUGGAUCGCUGGAGCUUGCACAUUUUUUUAGCACCUUUAGGAUUGACAAAACCUUCUGGUUGCAUCAUAUACAACUCUUCUUUAAUAAAUCCAUUAAGGAAUGCAGUUUUGAUAUCCAUUUGCCAGAUUUCAUAAAAUGUGGCAAUUGCUAACAUGAUUCAGACAGACUUAAGAAUCGAUACGAGUGAGAAAAUCUCAUCGUAUUCAACACCUUGAACUUGUUGAAAACCUUUCGCAACAAGUCGAGCUUGGUAGAUAGUAACACUACUAUCAGUGUCCGUCUUCCUCUUGAAGAUCCAUUCAUUUAACAUGGCUUGCUGAUCAUCGAGCAAGUCAAUCAAAGUCCAUACUUUGUUCUCAUACAUGGAUCAUAUCUCAGAUUUUAUGGCCUCGAGCCAUUUCGCGGAAUCUGGGCUCAUCAUCGCUUCUUCAUAGUUCGUAGGUUCAUCAUGAUCUAGUAUCAUGACUUCCAGAAUAGGAUUACCGUACCAUUCUGGUGCGGAUCUUACUCUGGUUGAUCUACGAGGUUCAUCAGUAUCUUGAUCUGAAGUUUCAUGAUCAUUAUCAUUGGCUUCCUCACUAACUGGUGUAGGUGUCACUGAAACAGUUUUCUGUGAUGAACUACUUUCCAGUAAGGGAGCAGGUACAGUUACCUCGUCAAGUUCUACUUUCCUCCCACUCACUUCUUUCGAGAGAAACUCCUUCUCUAGAAAGGAUCCAUUCUUAGCAACGAAUGUCUUGCCUUCGGAUCUGUGAUAGAAGGUGUACCCAAUAGUCUCCUUUGGGUAUCCUAUGAAGACACAUUUCUCCGAUUUGGGUUCGAGCUUAUCAGGUUGAAGCUUUUUCACAUAAGCAUCGCAGCCCCAAACUUUAAGAAACGACAACUUUGGUUUCUUGCCAAACCACAGUUCAUAAGGCGUCGUCUCAACGGAUUUUGAUGGUGCCCUAUUUAACGUGAAUGCGGCCGUCUCUAAAGCAUAUCCCCAAAAUGAUAGCGGUAAAUCAGUAAGAGACAUCAUAGAUCGCACCAUAUCUAGUAAAGUACGAUUACGAUGUUCGGACACACCAUUACGCUGUGGUGUUCCGGGUGGCGUGAGUUGCGAAACUAUUCCACAGUUUUUCAAAUGUACACCAAACUCGUAACUCAAAUAUUCUCCUCCACGAUCAGAUCGUAGAAACUUUAUUUUCUUGUUACGAUGAUUUUCAACUUCACUCUGAAAUUCUUUGAAAUUUUCAAAUGUUUCAGACUUAUGUUUCAUUAAGUAGAUAUACCCAUAUCUGCUUAAAUCAUCUGUGAAGGUGAGAAAAUAACGAUAUCCGCCACGAGCCUCAGUAUUCAUCGGGCCACAUACAUCGGUAUGUAUGAUUUCCAACAAAUCUGUUGCUCUCUCCAUAGUACCGGAGAACGGUGUUUUAGUCAUCUUGCCCAUGAGGCACGGUUCGCAAGUACCAAGUGAUUCAUAAUCAAGUGGUUCCAAAAGUCCAUCAGUAUGGAGUUUCUUCAUGCGCUUUAUACCGAUAUGACCUAAACGACAGUGCCACAAAUAAGUUGCACUUUCAUUAUCAACUCUGCAUCUUUUGGCUUCAACAUUAUGAAUAUGUGUAUUACUACUAUCGAGAUCCAACAAACCAUUUUCAUUGGGUGUAUGACCAUAGAAGGUUUUAUUCAUGUAAACAGAACAACAAUUAUUCUCUAACUUACAUGAAUAACCGUAUUGCAAUAAACAUGAUCAAAUCAUAUUCAUGCUCAACGCAAACACCAAAUAACACUUAUUUAGGUUUAACACUAAUCCCAAAAGUAUAGGGAGUGUGCGAUGAUGAUCAUAUCAAUCUUGGAACUAUUUCCAACACACAUCGUCACUUCACCCUUUAACUAGUCUCUGUUUAUUCUGCAACUCCCGUUUCGAGUUACUAAUCUUAGCAACUGAACUAAUAUCAAAUACUGAGGGGUUGCUAUAAACACUAGUAACGUACACAUCAAUAACAUGUAUAUCAAAUAUACUUAUGUUCACUUUGCCAUCCUUCUUAUCCGCCAAUCACUUGGGGUAGUACCUCUUCCAGUGACCAGUCUCUUUGAAGUAGAAGCACUUAGUCUCAGGCUUAGGACCAGACUUGGGUUUCUUCACUUGAGCAGCAACUUGCUUGCCGUUCUUCUUGAAGUUCCCUUUCUUUCCCUUUGCCCUUUUCUUGAAACUAGUGAUCUUGUUAACCAUCAACACUUGAUGCUCUUUCUUGAUUUCUACCUUCGUUGAUUUCAGCAUCAUGAAGAGCUUGGGAAUCGUUUUCGUCAUCCCUUGCAUACUAUAGUUCAUCACGAAGUUCUAGUAACUUAGUGAUGGUGACUAGAGAAUUCUGUCAAUCACUAUCUUACCUGGAAGAUUAACUCCCACUUGAUUCAAGCGAUUGAAAUACCCAGACAAUCUGAGCACAUGCUCACUAGUUGAGCGAUUCUCCUCCAUCUUUUAGCUAUAGAACUUGUUGGAGACUUCAUAUCUCUCAACUCGGGUAUUUGCUUGAAAUAUUAACUUCAAUUCCUGGAACAUCUCAUAUGGUCCAUGACGUUCAAAACGUCUUUGAAGUCCCGAUUCUAAGCCGUUAAGCAUGGUGCACUAAACUAUCAAGUAGUCAUCAUCUUGAGCUAGCCAGACGUUCAUAACUUCUGCAUCUGCUCCUGCAAUAGGUCUGUCACCUAGCGGUGCAUUAAGGACAUAAUUCUUCUGUGCAGCACUGAGGAUAAACCUCAGAUCACGGAUCGAAUCCGCAUCAUUGCUACUAACAUUUUUCAACACAAUAUUCUCUAGGAACAUAUCAAAAUAAACAUAUGAAAGCAACAACGCGAGCUAUUGAUCUACAACAUAAUUUGCAAAAUACUACUAGGACUAAGUUCAUGAUAAAUUAAAGUUCAAUUAAUCAUAUUACUUAAGAACUCCCACUUAGAUAGACAUCCCUCUAAUCCUCUAAGUGAUCACGUGAUCCAAAUCAACUAAACCAUGUCCGAUCAUCACGUGAGAUGGAGUAGUUUCAAUGGUGAACAUCACUAUGUUGAUCAUAUCUACUAUAUGAUUCACGCUCGACCUUUCGGUCUCUGUGUUCCGAGGCCAUAUCUGUAUAUGCUAGGCUCGUCAAGUAUAACCUGAGUAUUCCGCGCGUGCAACUGUUUUGCACCCGUUGUAUUUGAACGUAGAGCCUAUCACACCCGAUCAUCACGUGGUGUCUCAGCACGACGAACUUUGGCAACGGUGCAUACUCAGGGAGAACACUUCUUGAUAAUUUAGUGAGAGAUCAUCUUAUAAUGCUACCAUCAAUAAAAGCAAGAUAAGAUGCAUAAAAAGAUAAACAUCACAUGCAAUCAAUAUAAGUGAUAUGAUAUGGCCAUCAUCAUCGUGUGCUUGUGAUCUCCAUCUCCGAAGCACCGUCAUGAUCACCAUCGUCACCGGCGCGACACCUUGAUCUCCAUCGUAGCAUCGUUGUCGUCUCGCCAAUCUUAUGCUUCCACGACUAUCACUACUGUUUAGUAAUAAAGUAAAGCAUUACAUCGCGAUUGCAUUGCAUACAAUAAAGCGACAACCAUAUGGCUCCUGCCAGUUGCCGAUAACUCGGUUACAAAACAUGAUCAUCUCAUACAAUAAAAUUCAGCAUCAUGCCUUGACCAUAUCACAUCACAACAUGCCCUGCAAAAACAAGUUAGACGUCCUCUACUUUGUUGUUGCAUGUUUUACGUGGCUGCUACGGGCUUAAGUAAGAACCAAUCUCACCUACGCAUCAAAACCACAACGAUAGUUUGUCAAAUAGACUCCGUUUUAACCUUCUCAAGGACCGGGCGUAGCCAUACUCGGUUCAACUAAAGUUGGAGAGACAGUCGCCCGCAAGCCAUCCAUGUGCAAAGCACGUCGAGGGAACCGGUCUCGCGUAAGCGUACGCGUAAGGUUGGUCCAGGUCGUCUCGUCCAACAAUACCGCCGAACCAAAGUAUGACAUGCUGGUAGGCAGUAUGACUUGUAUCGUCCACAACUCACUUGUGUUCUACUCGUGCAUAUAACAUCAACAUAAAUAACCUAGGCUCGGAUGCCACUGUUGGGUUUCGUAGUAAUUUCAAAAAAUUUCCUACGCACACGCAAGAUCAUGUGAAGCAUAGCAACGAGGGGAGAGUGUUGUCUACGUACCCAACGCAGACCAACUGCGGAAGCGAUGACACGACGUAGAGGAAGUAGUCGUACGUCUUCACGAUCCAACCGAUCAAGCACCGAAACUACGGCACCUCCGAGUUCGAGCACACGUUCAGCUCGAUGACGAUCCCCGGACUCCGAUCCAGCAAAGUGUCGGGGAAGAGUUCCGUCAGCACGACGGCGUGGUGACGAUCUUGAUGAACUACAGCAGCAGGGCUUCGCCUAAACUCCACUACAGUAUUAUCGAGGUAUAUGGUGGCAGGGGGCACCGCACACGACUAAGGAAUAGAUCACGUGGAUCAACUUGUGUGUAUAGAGGUGCCCCCUGCCUCCGUAUAUAAAGGAGGAGAGGAGGGGAGGCUGGCCGGCCAAGGAGGGGAGGCGCAGGAGAGUCCUACUCCCUCUAGGAGUAGGAUUCCCCCCAAUCCUAGUCCAACUAGGAUUCCUCGGAGGGGAAGGGAGAGAGGGGGGCCCGCAGCCACCUUGGGCUGCCCCUUUCUCCUUUCCACUAAGGCCCAUGAAGGCCCAUAUGGCUCCCGGGGGGUUCCGGUAACCCUCCCGGUACUCCGGUAAAAUCCCGAUUUCACCCGGAACACUUCCGAUGUCCAAACAUAGGCUUCCAAUAUAUCAAUCUUUACGUCUUGACCAUUUUGAGACUCCUCGUCAUGUCCGUGAUCACAUCCGGGACUCCGAACAACCUUCGGUACAUCAAAAUGCAUAAACUCAUAAUGUAACUGUCAUCGUAACCUUAAGCGUGCGGACCCUACGGGUUCGAGAACAAUGUAGACAUGACCGAGACACGUCUCCGGUCAAUAACCAAUAGCGGGACCUGGAUGCCCAUAUUGGCUCCUACAUAUUCUACGAAGAUCUUUAUCGGUCAGACCGCAUAACAACAUACGUUGUUCCCUUUGUCAUCGGUAUGUUACUUGCCCGAGAUUCGAUCGUCGGUAUCCAAUACCUAGUUCAAUCUCGUCACCGGCAAGUCUCUUUACUCGUUCUAUAAUGCAUCAUCCCGUAACCAACUCAUUGGUCACAUUGCUUGCAAGGCUUAUAAUGAUGUGCAUUACCGAGAGGGCCCAGAGAUACCUCUCCGACAAUCGGAGUGACAAAACCUAAUCUCGAAAUACGCCAACUCAACAUGUACCUUCGGAGACACCUGUAGUACUCCUUUAUAAUCACCCAGUUACGUUGUGACGUUUGGUAGUACCCAAAGUGUUCCUCCGGUAAACGGGAGUUGCAUAAUCUCAUAGUUACAGAAACAUGUAUAAGUCAUGAAGAAAGCAAUAGCAACAUACUAAACGAUCAAGUGCUAAGCUAACGGAAUGGGUGAAGUCAAUCACAUCAUUCUCCUAAUGAUGCGACCCCGUUAAUCAAAUGACAACUCUUUUGUCCAUGGCUAGGAAACAUAACCAUCUUUGAUAAACGAGCUAGUCAAGUAGAGGCAUACUAGUGACACUAUGUUUGUCUAUGUAUUCACACAUGUAUUAUGUUUCCGGUUAAUACAAUUCUAGCAUGAAUAAUAAACAUUUAUCAUGAAAUAAGGAAAUAAAUAAUAACUUUAUUGUUGCCUCUAGGGCAUAUUUCCUUCACCACGUGGCCCGGCCGGCCCCCGGGGCUCAAGAACCAGGUCCAAUGCCCCCAUUGGUCCCGGUUUUGGAUUGAACCGGGACUAAUGGGCUGGACCGGCCUGGACCAUCGCCCCCUUUUCUACUAGUGUUAGUGCAUGGUGGUUAGUGAAGUUAGUGGAGCAUGGUGUGAGUGCGUGGGUCAUGGUUGAGUGCCAGACUUUGUAUAAAUUGUCAUUUGAGUCAAUGAGAAAAUGUAAGGCCGAGAGGGCCAGUGCAAAGAUGUAGCAUUUGUGGUAGCCAAGGGAGAUUAACUGGGCAAAGCUAUGUGUUCUUCCUUGGUCUAUGCGUGUGUGUGUUCUGUGUGUGUUCUCUCUCUGCGUCCUUGUGUUCAUGGGAGUGUUUUUGAGAGAAGCCAGAAGAGAGAGUUGUGAGAGGCAGCUCGAGGUAGAAGAAGGAGCGGUGCUGCUCCGAGAGGAGGCGGCGCCAACAAUUAUUGACGAAAGGGAUAUUAUAUUGCGCAAGGUAUAAUCAGACGCGUCGGGGAUGGAGCGACUACACACAUAUGGGAUCACAACUGGAUUAUGAGGGAAAGCUAUAAGAGGCCAAUAAAUAAGUUAGUGCAGAUCCCCCCUCAGAAACAUUUUAUGUAUACACGUUAACAUUUCCCAGAUAUAUGAUUAAUAUUUUUAGAAAACUUCUAUUUUUUAUGUGUACUUUUUAUACAUUUUGUAAUAUCAGAAAUAGUUUUUAUAGAAGGUUUAACAUUUUUCAAAUACAUGAUUACCUUUUUGUAAACUUAUAUUGUUUGACGUUUACUUUUUUCCAUAGACAUAGUGAGGGGUUAUAUCUAAGGAAUAGGCCCAAGUACAUGUAGGCACAACCAAAGGCCCAUGUUAAUCAAGGAUGUUCCACAAGACAAAUGGGAAAACACACCGGGGCUAAUGGAGCUACAAGGCCAAGGCAUCGGAUACAAGGGGAGAGUCAACUGUGUACAGUCAGAUUACACAACCCUUAACAGACAAGACUCAUCAGUUGGUCCACUAUAGGAAUCAGGUCAUUUGCCGUCAGCCGAGAACAGAUGCGAAGGCUUUGCCGUGAGCAAGUUGACGACAAACACAAUCAGCAAAGACUAUAUCAGCAAAGAGCUAAUUUGACGUCAACUUUUCAUCGCGCUGAUGACAAAGACUUUGCCGUCAAUUAAACUAUGUGUUUGUCGUCUGUAGAAAAAACACAAAUGGCAAAGAAAUUAAACAAAUGGUCAUUUUAUAAUAAUUUUUCGAAAUGUAUAUAGUGUAUUUUAAAAUGUUAAAUAUGUAUCAAGAAUUAUUUCAUAAAUAUACAGAAGAUGUACAACGUGUAUGAAAAUUAUGUAGACAUCAGAACAUAUUAUAGAAAUGUUAAUCUUGUAUUUAAAAAUGUUAAAUACACAUAAAUAAAAAUGUUUUUGAUGUACAUAAAAAAAUUGUACAUCGUGUGUGAACAAAGUAUGCAUUGAAAAAAAAAUCUUGUUGGAAAGAAAAUCUCGUGCUAUAUACGAAAAUGUAAAAGGUGUAUGAAAAUAAUUAGAUAUAUGCUUAACGAAAAAAAGGAAAGAAGGCGCAAAAAAAUCCGAUCAACACCAAGAUAGGAACAAGAAAACCUGAAGAAGACCAUUGAAAAAAAAGAAAAGAAUACAAGAAAGAGGAAAAAAAACAAAAAAAUGAAGAAGCUGAUGCAGAACAGGGAACUUGGUGAAAACGAAUAAAAAUUGAUGAAAACCGAGAAGAAAAACAAGAAAACUGAAGCAAAAAAAUAAUAAAAAUAUGUAAAAAAAUGAUGAAACAUUGCAAAACACUGAAAUACUAUGAAAACCAAAGGAAGAAAAGACUCAAAAAGAAGAACAUACAGCGAGCGAAUGAACAACAACUGAGUGAACGAGCGACCAUGCGAGAACACGUUAAUUGUCCGGCCCAUACUUGUGGACUCCAGAGGCGAGCCAGAAUAGGCGAGAUAUAGCUAUGACGAUUUGAUACCCUUCACAGCUUCACGAAUGCUAUAUCUCGCUCACAGCGAAAGUAUAUUUUGUCUGGCCUGAAGGUGCAAGAAUAGCAUCAGGUCGCUGUAAGGUUUGUGAUCCUACAAUGAGAGCUCCGAUAAGAUUAAAGUUCAUUUUUCUGACAACCUUUGGUCGUUCGUUCGCGCUCAGGUCGUCCGCUCACUCGAUUCCACGUACUAGUUUGGUUAUGUUGUUUUUUUCAUUUUGUUCUUUUUUUGUUUCUUCACUGGCUUUCUUUGGUUUUUAUAUCGGUUUUCUUUGUUUCCUUCACGUUUUAUUCCUGUUUUCCUUUUUACUGGUUUAUUUAUUCCUUUUUUUCUUUGUUUCUUUCUUGGUUUUCUUUGUUUUUCUUUCUUUUGAUGUCAAUCUUUUUACAUACGCAUUCAACAAUUUCCGUAUACAUCAGAAACAUUUUAUGUAUACACAUUAACAUUUCCCAGAUAUAUGAUUAAUAUUUUUGGAAAACCUCUAUUUUUUAUGUGUACUUUUUGAUACAUUUUGUAUAUAUCAGAAAUAUUUUUUUAGAAGGUUUAACAUUUUUUUAAAUACAUGAUUACCUUUUUGUAAACUUAUAUUGUUUGACGUUUAUUUUUUUCCAUAGACAUAGUGAGGGGUUAUAUCUAAGGAAUAGGCCCAAGUACAUAUAUGGCACAACCAAAGACCCAUGUUAAUCAAGGAUGUGGUCCACAAAACAAAUGGGGAAACACACGGGGGCCAAUGGAGCUACAAGGCCAAAGCAUCGGAUAUAAGGGGAGAAUAAGUGUGUACAGUCGGAUUACACAACACUUGACAGACAAGACUCAUUAGUUGGUCCACUAUAGGAAUCGAGUAAUUUGCCGUCAGCCGAGAACAGACUCGAAGUCUUUGCCGUCAGCAAGUUGAUGACAAACACAGUGAGCAAAGACUAUAUCGGCAAAGAGCUAAUUUGACGUUAACUUUUCAUCCGCUGAUGACAAAGACUUUGCCGUCAAUUAAACUAUGUGUUUGUCGUCUGUAGAAAAAACACAAAUGGCAAAGAAAAGCAUCUUUGCCAUCAGCAACUGAUUCACAUGUGUCGUCAGCCAGACUCGUCUUGUCACUAGCCUCAAACAUCACAGAUGGCAAAGAUUUUUUUUUAUUUUUAAAAUUCCGCGUCGACCACCCUAUCGCUCGUGCAGCCACCGCCUGGCCGCGCUCGCCUCCCUGCUCACAUGCCCUGCCAGCUUGCGCCGUUGCCAUCCGGCAGCGCUCGCCCGACCCUGCUCAUCGCCCGGCCGAGCUCGCCCGCCCUGCUCGGUCGCGUCGUCGGCAGCUGCCCUGCUUGCACACGUACCUGCCCAGCCUUGCUCAUACCGCCGGCCACCCUGCUCGCUAGAGAAAGGAAGGCGAGAGAGGAGGCUCGGGGGAGAAAGAAAAAACAAAGGAGAGAGAGAGGAUGCUACCACUGCCACAUCACCAAUACGCAUGAUCGAUCUGCAAGAUGUGCUCUCUCUUUUGCCGCCUCUGAUGGCAAAGUAUGUCUUUAUCGUCUAUAAUAAGAUUACAAACAGCAAAGUGAGCUCUUUGCCGUCUGUAAAAAAACGGACGACAAACAAACUUUGUUGUCAGCUGCCGACGGCAAAAAGUGCUCUUUACCGCAGCCUCGAUGAGAAGCUGAAGGCAAAGUGCCCCACAGACGGCAAAUUAGUUGAUUCCUGGGUGGUUAUGAGCAAGACAGGAGCAAUAACCCUAUCUACACUCGGUCAUCUGGAAGACAGGAGUAGUCGAACCAUCUAUAGUCGGCUACAUCUGAGGUUACCGUGACCCUUACGAUGCAUUCAUUAUCGCCGUUACUCAAUGGAGUAGUUAAAUACGUCAGUUAGCAAUAAUAAUAGCCACGAACAGUCAAUCAUGCAUGUGACCAUCAAUAGCAUUUAUACCAACCCAUUACGGCACUUCCUCCUAGCACACUCUAUAUAAGCCAGGAGUAGGACAUGAGAGUGAGGGAUGAACUCUCUCACAGUAUAACCUACGCCAAGAGCAGGAACACCACAUGAAUAGAGAUUACCUCCACCAACGUACUCCCAUCCGUUUUAUGUACCGAUCAAUGUAUAUAAUGGCUUCUACAUUCACAUCCCGUAGUAUUGUCAGGAUUAUAUCCACGACAGAAACUAUAUUUUGUUAUACAUCAAGAACAUUUUAUAUAUAAAUAUUUACAAUUUUUUAAAUACAUGAUUAAUAUUUUUUCAAACAUAUAUUUUGUAUGUCUCCUUUUCAUAAUCUUUGAUCCCUGGAAGUUUCAGAUUUUUUCCGAUUUGUUCUCAUUUUUUUAUGAAUUUACUGUUCAUGAGGGUGUAGGGGCACCCAGGAGCUGUUAGGCAUAAUAUUUCUGCUGUUGUUGUCAUCAUCAAGGGGAAUGAGAAGGGUUGAAGUUUUCGUUUUCUUUGAGGGGGAAAUCAGAGUUGGGGGCUGGAAGUGAGUGAUUAGGCCCAACAUAAGCGCUGUGUGUGUGUGUCUCGUCACGGGCACCAAAUUCGAACUGGGCUAUUGUUUUCUGAGAACCCAACGUCACAAGCCCAACCAACAGUCUGCCGAUCUGCAUCUUCCUCUCCUUGUCCAUCCUCCUCGUUGGCCGGACCGCCUCGAGCCACGGCCGCUCCCUGGCGCAGCGUCCUCCCCUUCCUCUCCACCCCCAAAUUCUCUUGUAUCCUCUUCUGAUCUCCUUCCUUACUUCCUCUCGCUGAUGGUCUCCACAAGAAGGUCUCCGAGCUCCUCGGAGGGUUCCGGCUGUACGUCGACGCAGCCUCUCCGACCUCCCCAUGAACAUGAGCUAUCGACCCUGAAAGCCUGUCUCUUCCAUGAUUCGAUUCACAUGAAUUCACGAGCCGCAUGAAUCAUGAAGGUCAUGGAGCAGAAUUCAGUCGUGUAGCCUGACAGUGAUGUACAUUUGUGGCUUUUCUGGCUAAAUAGCUCUGUACCCUAUGUGGAUGCCACUUCAAAUAAUCGUCAAAAUAAUUCUCCUGCACGCGUUAUACAAAUGGCGAAGAAGAAGUUCGCGUGGAACAUUUCGUUUCUUAUUGAUGUCCGAGAGAAAAGCUCCUAGGAAGUUCAUCCGCUCGGUGGAUUAUAAGUUUAAGUUUGUUACAACAUCCAAUCAUCCAUAUAAUCUCUGUGUUUCUUCUGUUUUCUACCAGUCAUAUAUCAUAUGUGCAUCAGAGGAAAAAUGCUUUCAGCAGUCAUGUUGGAGCGCGCAUACCAAGUUCCCACAUUGCAAAUAUGAUCCUAGCCAUUAAUAUGUUUCAUUCCACAUUUUCUUGAUCUAAUUUCUAAAUGAUUGGACAACCUGUUAUAGUCUUAUAGAAUUAUGAGCCGCCAAAUCCACAUUUCUCUUGGUCUAAUUUCUAAAUGAUAAUGUGCAGCAUCUAUCUCCUGGUGAACCUUUUUUUCUUGCGACUGUAUCUCCUGAUGAACCUAGUUUUCUCUAGGUAGCACAAUAAUUGUACUGGUUUGAUGUAAAGGACAUAAAUACAAGGGAAUAAAUUGGAAGCUUAUUUCAAAUUAACUAGCUAGUGGUGUUUGUGAAGUUCAAGAAAAAGCUGGUCUUUUUCUCGACAAAUAAUUUAACAUGCAAAGAAUCAAUAAAUGUAUUUGCAAGAAAGCAAACAUAAUUAACGAUAAAACUGGUUUAUUGUCACUGUAGACAACGGUAGUAGUUGGAACUAGAUACAAACCAAUAAAAAACAAGAUCUCAAAUCUCCAACCAAUAAAGAGUUCAACCCAAAUUUUACAGUAACACCAUUAUAUUCAAAUAGUGAUUAUUCCAACACAUGGAUAAUUAAUUAAGGCACCAGGUUGCCCUUGUGACUAGGAAAGACAAACUUAUGAACUUGCAAGCAUGGCAAUCAGAUCGACAUCCACACAAUGCCAAUAUGAACAUUGUCUUGAUACAACUUUAUUUUUAUUUUAUUUCAGAAUUUAAACAACUAGUAUGGGCGGGUCACACACGACAUUGUGUGACACUUUAUUUGUCACCGCUGCAUCGACAUAUCCAUCGACUAAACAACGGUGAUCCAACUAUAUAUUACUAGAGACCUUUCCUUAUUAGUAGGAACCAACUCCGGUGCCAACACCGAAUGGCACACUAGUGGUGGUUCUAUACAACGGCACAUUGACACGGCACAUCGUUGGCAGGGUACGGAGCGCAAUGGAAGUCAUCACCUCAAGCUGAGCUAUCUGGUGUGGCUGCAAAAAGGUACCUUGUGCCAAUUGUUGUUGUUGAGGUUGUUGCCCGAGUUGUUGUUGUGACUGCUGUUGGGGUUGGGAAACACAUUGGCCCAACUGUUGGGGUUGCUGCUGAGGAGUUUGGAUGGAACCCUGAACCUGUUGUUGUUCUUGCAGGAUGAUGGAGUAGAUGAUAGCACGGAUUGCCUCAUAGCGGGAUUGCUGGGGGAUUUGCGGCAACUGCUGGCAACAUUGUUGUUGCAUCACAUGGCAACUGCUCUGCUGCAACAUUUGCGACCUAGCAAGACUUUGUGGCAUUGCCACAGGGCUGCAUUGCUGCUGGAGGAAUACCUUGCAUGGGUUUAGCUGCUGCAAGAUAGAUGGAUGAACAAAUGGUAUUUGUUGUUGCGGUAGAACUAGUUGUUGUUGUUGCUGCGAAAAUGGUGGUUGUUGCGGUAGACUUGGUUGUUGUUGUUGCAAAAAUGGUGGUUGUUGCUGUAGUACUAUUUGUUGUUGUUGCGAAAACGGUGAUUGUUGCUGUGAAAAUGGUGGUAGUUGUUGCUGUGAAAAUGAUGGUUGUUGCGGUAGAACUGGUUGUUGUUGCUGCGAAAAUGGUGGUUGUUGUUGUGAAAAUGGUGGUUGUUGUUGCUGCGAAAAUGGUGGUUGUUGUUGUGAAAANNNNNNNNNNNNNNNNNNNNNNNNNNNNNNNNNNNNNNNNNNNNNNNNNNNNNNNNNNNNNNNNNNNNNNNNNNNNNNNNNNNNNNNNNNNNNNNNNNNNNNNNNNNNNNNNNNNNNNNNNNNNNNNNNNNNNNNNNNNNNNNNNNNNNNNNNNNNNNNNNNNNNNNNNNNNNNNNNNNNNNNNNNNNNNNNNNNNNNNNNNNNUGGUUGUUGUUGCUGCGAUAAUGGUUGUUGUUGUUGCUGCGAAAAUGGUGGUUGUUGUUGUGAAAAUGGUGGUUGUUGUUGCUGCGAUAAUGGUUGUUGUUGUUGUUGCUGUGAACAUGGUUGCUGUUGUGAAAAUGGUUGUGGUUGUUGUUGGAUGGGUUGUUGUUGUUGGUGGUGCGAUAAUGUUUGUUGUGGUGGUAAUGGUUGUUGCUGCGAUGGUCUCUCCAAACCAGGGAUGUGGCUAUUCUCCAUUUGUGCAAUGGCACUUGUCGCCACAAUGGCGAGGAGAGCAAAGAUGAGGAAGGUCUUCAUGGUGGAUUGGUGUUAACCAGUGUUGCUUGGUUUUGAUGCUUGUGCUUGUGAUGAUCUUUAUACUUCAUGCCUAUUUAUAGUAGCC